UGUGGACUAAAAAAGUCCAUCAAUAUUAUUACAUUUGCUGUAUUCUGCAACAGUUUCAAGCAGAAAAUUCCCUAGUUAUAGCAUCAACAUCCAUUUUCUUUAACCCCUUCGCUAUCUUUUUGGCUUUCAGGUCACUCAGCCGAUAAAUCAAAACCAGUCUACCAUCCUUGAUUUCCCGUUCAAGUUCUUUCUCAAUCUAAUCUCCCUUACCAGCUCUCGAGCUCUUCUUCAGAGACAUGCAUGUUAAAAAUAUUCUUUCCUCUUUACACUCUUCUACGGAGAUUAAAAGGGUAUUGCCACACCAACACUGAGCAAUCAUGGUCGUUGUUUCCUCUGAGUUGAAUGCUAAGUUAGACCAAAUGAAAGUACAGUCAUGUCAAAAAGGCAAGGAACUUGAUACAAAUGAAGGAGGGUUUGGUUUUUUCAUGCCGAAAAAUGAGAAUAAUGAUUCAUUUGAUAAUCCUGUAUUUUUUUUUUUUUUGUAUUAAAUAUGUAUAAAUCAUAAAAAUUACCUUCUUACAAUUUAUGAUAUGUUAUAUAUAUUUUAUUUUUAUCAAACUCGUAUAUAAUUUUAUUAAAAUUUUAAAUUGUAUUAUUUUUAUAUUUUUUAUUCCAUUUUUAUAACAUAUAAUUAUAUUAUGUUUAAAAUUUUUAAAUCUAGUAAAAUCUCGUCGAUGUUCAAUAUAUAAAAAAUAACGUGAUAAACAAAUUUUUAUCAAGCUGUUGGCUAUGCCGGCAUCCCCCUGACGAUAGAUCUUCUGCCAAAUGUACGAAUCAAGCCAUGUUCCAAUUGUAUGUUUCAGGGUUCCUUUUUUUUCAAAAUAAUUAUAAUUCUCUCCUAGUUAUAUGUGAGACAAAUGUAUAUGAUAAACAGAUAACUUGUUUCCCUAAGAAACGUCCUUUUACCUUCUUUGAAAAAAAGAAAGAAAAAUGUAUUGGUGUCUGCCCUGUAGUAGCUGAGCUGUUGAAGAAGAGAGGGUUGACUUCGCCACUGUAUCAAAGGGUUUUCCUGUGGCGGAGCGUUACUGAUCGAAACCAUGCAUGUGACCUAUAUGCCCUACCUAACACACUCUCUUUGUUUUUUCUUAUUCUUUUUUGUCGGAUGGAACCUAAAACAAAUUUGAUUUGAUGCAACCCGAAGUUUCCAUCUAAGUUGGAAAUAAUCAUAUAUAAUUAAUACGUAACAAACUAAUAAAUUGGGUUAAGGGCUUGGCUUAACACAAAUAUAAAAUCAUGAAAUUUUGAAGUUUCAAAUUCAAGUUUCGUUAUGAAUAAAUUUGAUCAAAAUUUAUGUUAGAUGUAUUAGUUAUAUGUUAAUUAAUUGAUUAGUGAUCUAAUUCAUUAGUUUUUGUAUAUAAUAUUUAAAUAUAAUUGUAAUUUUUUAAUUUUUAAUUGAUCUUUGAAUCCUCUAUUUUAAUAUUUAUUUUAUUCAAAAAGAUAUUACUAUAUAAACUUCAAGUUUUCAACUCUAAUAACGUGUCAAUUAAUACAAAAUUCAAUUAGCAAUAUGGUUGUAAAUUUUUAUAGUAUCAUUUCAUAAAAAACUAAUAAAUUGGAGAUUGCUGUUGUGAAUUAUUCAUCAAUCUUCAUUUUUCAAAGAAAUAUAAAUAUAUGUUAUAUGUAUACAUCUUUCAACAUGUUUCUAAAAUUAUAAUGUUCUUAUUUUAAAUUUACUUUUAAUAUCUUAAUUCUUAAACAUUGGACACCAAGAUCUCUUUAGACUGUUUCGGGGUUUUCAUCUUCAAUAUUGUUGGUUUUUAAUUAGUGCGGUUUUCUUUACUUCCCUUUGGGCUAACAAUUCAUAAGGUCCACUGGAUCUUAAAACAGAAUUCUUAUUUUGGGCUACAGGUCAUGUUCUCUUUCUUAGCACUGAGCAUUUAAUCAAUCGGCAGGCAUACAUAUAAUAUAUGAAAGAUCAAUUUAUAUUAGUAUAAAAUUUUUUUAAUUAUUAAUUUCAAUUAAUUUUAUUUUUUAAGUACUAAUUUAUACAUUUUAUCAAAAUUCAGGUAUCCAAAAAUAUAAUUAACUCUUAAAAAAUCAAUUAAUUUUCAUACUUGGAAAAAUCUUGACGUUAUAUAUAGAUAUUAAUGCCACCUAAGAAAUGCGAAUGCGCCUAGCUUUUAUAUAUUGUUAAUUAUUUAUAUAUAAAUAUAUGCAUGUAUAUUUGAAUGAUUCGAAAGUAUGGAUAGCCUGAUAAGUCUCUUUCCAUGGAUCACUUCUAGCUACAAAAAUAUUAUCAUAAUUGAUUUAAUUAAUUGGUGUGACAAUUAUGGAUUGAUAAAACAAAAUUAUCUAGUUUUAGUUGUCUAUCUGAUAAAGCUUUCAUAGUAAAACAUGAUGCCAUAGCCGACUUUGUGAUUUUUUAGGCAUUAAUUAAAUGCAAAUUGAUCAACGAAAGGGGUCUGAAAAUCAUAUCAGCAAAAGGACCCGUGACAUUAUAGAAUUUCUCAGUUUUCACUAGGUAUUUGGUGGAGGUGACUUUGAGUUUCAAGCUUAUCCCUUGUGCAGAUGAAAUUACUGAUGACUGAUGAAUACAGGUGGCAAUGGAUGUGAUAAGAUAUUUUGGAUUCACACUAUUUUAAAUUUGAAUUUUUUUGGGUUUGAUUCACUUUGAAUUAACUUUUUUAUUCUAAUUGGAUUUAAGUUUAGAUUUGGAUUAGCUUAGGUGAUUUUUUAGAUUUUAAGUAUAAUGUAAUAAUUUUAACAUACUUUUAAGAUUUGAGUUUGAUUCAAGACCAAAUUAUUCGUAUUAAGUUUUAAGUAAUUUUGCAUUUAAAUCAUUUUAAUUUUGAGUUUUUUUGAAUUUAAAUAUUUAAUUUUUUUUAAAAAAUUAAAUUAAGUUGAUUUUGGAUUUGGACUUUUUCAAGUGAACAUUCAUAUUCGAAUUUUAUUUUCCGGUUUUAUUGACGAGGAAACUAGAAAAUAAGACAGUUCAAUGGUGUGUCUUCUUCACAUAGCAAUGCUAGUAGAUUUUAUUUCUUUUAACAGCCGAAAAAAAAAACUGUAUAGCAGAAUAUUUAUUUCCUAUUCAAAAUAGAGCACGACCACUCAAAAUUUGUGGGCCUCAAUCACCUCAAUUUCAAUAUGGGAUGCAAUGUUGUGCAUUCCAGCAAAAUUGGCAGAGCAAAUGAAGCAUGCAGAACAAUAUAUGUUAAGGUCAAUACAUCUAAUUUUAUCUAGAUCGAUUUAGUUUUAUUUGAUUUUUAUAUUUAAUUUAAAUAAUUCAAUUUGAUUCAAUUUAAAUGUUUUAAUUAGAUUGACUCAUUAAAAUCUUAUUUUGGAUUAAUUACCAAAUUCUUCAAUUUUAUUUGGAUCAAGGCUCAAUCUAAUCGGAAUUAAUUCAAAAUUUAGUUAUUUGGGCUUGCAGUCCUAAUAAAUGCCAAAACUUCAAUUUCAAGUCCAAAUUAAAUUUCAAAACCCAAUUUUAUUUUUAUUGUUUUAAUUUCUUUAUUUAUUGAAUUAAUUAAAAAAUGACAAAAAUGACAAAAAUACAAAGGCAAAUGCAAGAAAACAAAAAAACACAACAUGAAGAAGUGGCUAGCAACUUGCUGCCAAAAUAGGCCAAAAUUCUCAAGAGUUUUAUCUCCAUUACCCUGCCAUACUGAAAAACUUUAGACUAUUGUUACAAAUCACUAGAUAAAAACCAAGGAUGAAAAUACACCAAAGAGGGGGAAAAGGGAAGUUCCAGCAUCCAUUUCUUUGCACGCACUAGGCUAGCCCUUUUUCAACACCCAACAACUCGCCUUCAUCAACUUAAGAACCCAUUCGAGGAUCUCUUUCCCCUUUUUGAGGUGCACCCCUACUAGCACCAAGGCCCAACCACCCUAGUAGCUAUUUUACCAAGUUUCAUAUACUAAACCACCAUAGCCCUAUAAUCAUUCUUGUCGAUUGCCAAACCCAAAAAAAAAAAAAUCCCAUCACGCCUCUUUACAAACUCCAUUAACUAGCUGCCACCCAAAACAGUCUACAACCUCACUGCUUUUAACCUCAAUCAUAAAAUCCCAUUCCCACCAUCUAGUAUCUUCCCAACCGAAACCUUUGUCCACCCUCUAGCCCUGUUCAUGCACCAUCUCUCCACCACAAUCAACCUCCCCCCAUUCGACCACCAAACACCCACUACUAAGCCAAAUCCAUGCCCCAACAAUAGAGUUACAGAAAUAGUGCAUAGCCAACUGAACACCCAAUUCAACCUUUUAGCCACAUUGCCCCUAUUUCAAACCCUAAAUCUAAUACCAUAACCAUCAAAACCUCUAUAAAAAAAAAAAAACCUUGCAUUUUGAGCCUCUGACUCACUAACUAGUACCUACCACAAGCACCCAUUAAAAAAACUAAAAAGUCCUCCACCACUGUUGGCCAAAACACUAACUGAAAAAAAAAAACCACUGCCAAGCUAAAAAAUCAUAUAUAAAAGAAGUAAAAAGCCACAUCCCUUAGAAGGGGAGAAGCAAUGCCAAAAGCAAAGAAAAUAAAAAAAACCCAAAAAAUAAAAAAAAUAAACAGAUGGAGAAAAAGAGUUUCGUUUUGGAUGGUUUUAGGGGAGUUUUGGGCUAGGUUUUUCUUGGAGAAAGAAGUCAUUAGGAAGGGAAACACAUACUAGAAGAAGAGCUUGGUAUGAAUAGUAAAGGCAGUAGUUUUUAGAGGUUGGAAUUGUGACAUUUAGGGUUAGAUCUAGGGAUCUAGGACAAGUUUUAAGUCUAGAAAUGAGUGGAAGAAAGAAAGAAGGGUUUCGGGUGGAUUUUAGGGUAGAUCCGCUAUCGGUAAUUGAUGGCCAAAAUCUAGGUUUGAAGGUGACCAGUCCUUUAGUGGUUUUUAUAAGAGAGUUUGGAGCUUUUUUUUUUUUUUUGAAAAAAGGGUUUGAAAUGAAAAAAAAAAAUUUAGUAUUUAUAAGAAGAACAAAAAAAAAAAAAAUACCAGCUGACCUGUGUGUGGACCGAACCCGACCUAAGGUCGGCACACUUGAUCCAAUCUGAUGCUAGUCAACUGCCUUGAAUCGAUCCAGCUAUGAACCAAUUUGAUUGAACCUGCUAAACCAUCUUCAGCUACUGAAUUGUGUCUGAACCGAACUAAAUUAUUCUAAACUAUUGACCAACUUUGACCAAACUUUUUUUGAUAUUUUUUUAUUAUCUCUUAUAUAUAUUUUUGCUAGAUCAUUUAUUUGUUUAUGCAUAUUUAAAAUUUAAUUUUUGUUAAAUAAAUAUAUUUUUUAAAAAAAGAGAAGUGAUUUUUUUAAAUUAUAAUUUUUUAAAACAAAAAUGAAAAUCUUUCGAAGAUAAGAUAUUAAAGAAAUUCGAGUAGUAAUUCUUUAAAAAUCUCUAGGUAAGAAUAUUUUUCUAAAAUGCUACCAAAAUACUAAAGUAUUUAGAAAUGUAUUUAAUACAUAAAAGUUAUCAUUUAUUUAUUUUUUGAAUUACAAAUUAAAAAAAAUACAUGACAAAAUAAAAGAUUUUUUAAUAUAGAUAGAAGGUUAUAUAUAAUAAUGCAUAAGUAUUAAUAGCAUCAAUUAAUUAAAAGUAUGAGUUUCAAAUGAGGGGACUUUGAGAAGUUCAAGUAAUGAUUCGCGAGAAUUCCUUAGGUGAAAAAAAGUUUUGAAAAAUAUUACCAAAGUAUUGUGAUAUUUAGAAUGAUUUUCAAUACAAAAAACUCUCGUUUGCUUUUCAUUUCAAAAAAUGAACUUUCAUGCAAUGGCAUCACGAGUUAAUUCAUGUGCAUUAAAUUCUAAAAAGAAAUUAUAGACAUUAUAUUUUAGAAAAUUUUCGAUAAAGAUUUUUCAUUUUUUGAUAAAUAGAAUAAGAAAUAAAUGUUAAGAAAAUAAUUAUUUGAAUUAAAUUAUAGAUAUCAUAUUUUACAAUAUGCUUGGUAAAUAUAAAUAUUAAAGAUAAAUUUAAAUCGCUGAGGAUAGAAUUUUUGAGAAUUUCGAGUAGUAAUUCUUAAGAAUUCAUUGGAUGAGAAAGUUCCUCUUAAUAUUGCUAAAGUAUUAGAAUAUUUUUAGGAUUUUUCAAUGUGCAAGGUUCUUAUUUUUUUUUUAUGAAAAUAAUUAAAAAUAAAAAUAUGUUUUUCAUUACAAUAAAGAAAAUUAAGAAAAAUAUUUUUUUAAAUACUAAAAUUAAGACCUUUUUGUGAAAAUUAAAAGAUAACACAUAAUUAAUUGGUACCUUUAUUUUAAUGGGCAUUGUGGGGUGUUAAUCAUUCCUUAUUUGAAAUCUCGAACCCAAACUGUUUUCGCAGACCCAAAAAUUAUUUUCUUAAUAAAUUUUAAGAUUUUAUCAAUUUUAAGUCCUAAUUAAAUUUCAAAACUCAAAUUUAUUUUUAUUGUUUUCUUUUUGUUAUUGUUUUAAUUUCUUUAUUUAUUAAGUUAAUUAAAAAAUGACAAAAAAAAAAAACAAAGGCAAAUGCAAGAAAACAAAAAAAAAACACAAAACAUGAAGAAGUGUUUCGUAACUUGCUGUCAUAGUAGGCCAAAUUCUCAAGAGUUUUAGCUCCACGACCCUACCAUACUAAAAAACUUUGGACUGUUAUUACAAAUCACUAGAUAAAAACUAAAGAUGAAAAUACACCAAAAGGGGAGGGGGGAAGUUUCAACAUCCAUUUCUUUGUACGCACUAGGCCAGCCUCUCUUCAAUACCCAACAACCCACCUUCAUCAGCCUAAGAACCCACUCGAGGAUCCCUUCCCCCUUUUAGAGCUAUAUCCCUAUCAGUACCAAGGCCAAGCCACCUUAGUAGCUAUUUGGCCAAGCCACCUUAGCAGCUAUUUUGCCAAGCCUCAUUUGUUGAACCACCAUAGCCCUAUAACCAUCUCCGUCCAUUGCCAAACCUAAAAGAAAAAUCCUAUCAUGCGCAUUUGCAAACUCCAUCAACCAGUUGCCACCCAAAACAGUCCACCAACCUCACUGCCUUUAACCCCAGUCACAAAAUCCUAUUCCCACCAUCGAGCAUCCUCCCAAACGAAACCUUUGGCCACCCUCUAACCCUGUUCACACACCAUCUUUCUGCCAUAAUUGGCCUCCCUUCACUCGACCACCAAACAUCCAUUGCUAAGCCAAAUCCAUGCCUCAACAAUAGAAUUAUAAAAAUAGUGUAUAGCGAACUGAAAACACCCAAUUCAACUUUCUUACCACACUGCCCAUGUUUUGAAUCCUAAAUCGAAUGCCAUGACCACCAAACCUCUAUAAAAAAAAAAAGUCCAUCUCGAACCUUUAACCUACUAGUACCUACCAUAAGCACCCAUCAAAAAAACUAAAAGAUCCCCCACCAUAGUUGGCCAAAACACUCAUUAGUAAAAAAAAUAAAUAAAUAAACACCCACUACCAAGCUUAAAAAUCAUACACAAGAAAAAGUAAAAACCACAUCCACUAAAAGGGGAGAAACAAUGCCAAGAGCAAAGAAAACCCAAAAAAUAAAAAAAAGAGCAAAUAGAGGGAGAAAAAAAGUUUCAUUUUAAGUAGUUCUAAGGGAGUUUCGAGCUAGGUUUUUCUUAGAGAGAGAGGUCAUGAAGAAGGGAAACACAUACUAGAAGAAAAGCUUGGUAUGAGCAGUGGAGGUAGUAGUUUUUUAAAGUUGGAACAGUGACCUUUAGGCUCGGAUCCAAUGAUUUAGGAUGAGUUUUAACAAAAAACUAAGUCUAGAAAUGAGAGGAGGAAGGGAAGAGGGGUUUCUGGGUGGAUUAUGGGAUAGAUUCGCUAUCGACAAUUAGUAACUAGCGACCAAAAUCUAGGUUUGAAAGUGACUAGUCUUUUAGUGGUUUUUUUUAGAGAGUUUGGAGCAUUUUUUUUAAAAAGGGGCUUGAAAUGAAGUAAAAAAAAAUUAGUAUUUAUAAGGAGAACAAAAAAAAAAAAACCAACUGACCCGUAUAUGGACCCGACUCGACCAAAGGUCAGCACGCCUGAUCCAAUCCAACACCAAUCAACUACCUUGAAUUGAUCUAGCUAUGAAUUGAUUUGAUUGAACUCGUCAAACUAUCUUCAGCUGUUGAAUCAGGUUUGAACUGGACUGAUCAUUGACCAACUUUAACCAAACUUUUUUUGUUGGUAUUUGUUUUAUUAUCUCCUUUUUAUAUAUUUUUGUUAGAUCAUUUAUUUGUUUAUGCAUAUAUUUUAAAAAAAUGAUUUUUUUAAAUUAUAAUUUUUUAAAACAAAAAUGAAAAUCUUUCGAUGUUGAGAUAUUAAAGAAAUCUGACUAGUGAUUCUCUAAAAAUCUUUAUGUAAGACUAUUUUUCUAAAAUAUUACCAAAGUAUUAGAGUAUUUAGAAAUAUAUUUAAUACAAAAAAGUUUUCAUUUAUUUAUUUUUUGAAUUAAAAAUAAAAAAAAUACAUGACAAAAUAAAAGAUUUUUUUAAUAUAGAUAUAAGGUUACAUAUAAUAAUGCAUAAAUAUUAAUUGCAUCAAUUAAUUACAAGUAAAAGUUUCCAAUUAUGGAACUUUGGGAAGUCCAAGUAGUGACUGUUGAGAAUUCCUAGAUGAAAAAAUUUUUCAAAAAAUAUUACCAAAGUAUUAGGAUAUUUAAAAUGAUUUUCAAUACAAAACUCUCGUUUGCUUUUCAUUUAAAAAAAAUGAACUUUCAUGGAAUGGCAUCACGAGUUAAUCCAUGUGCAUCAAAUUUUAAAAAUAAAUGAAAUCUUCGAGGAUGAGAUCUUAAAGAAAUUCAAGUAGUGGAUUAAAUUAUAGAUAUCAUAUUUUAGAAUAAUUUUCAAUAAAGAUUUCUCAUCUUUUUGAUAAAUAGAAUAAAAAAUAAAUGUUAAGAAAAUAAUUAUCUAGGUUAAAUUAUAGCAUCAUAUUUUACAAUAUGCUUGGUAAAUAUAAAUAUUAACGAUAAAUAUGAACCGCUGAUAAUAGAAUUUUUGAGAAUUUUGAGUAUUGAUUCUUAAGAAUUCCUUAGAUGAGAAAGUUCCUUUUAACAUUACUAGAGUAUUAAAAUUUUUUUAGGGAUUUUUCAAUGUGCAAGGUUCUUAUUUAUUUUUCAAGCAAACAAUUAAAAAUAAAAAUAUGUUUUUCACUACAAUAAAGAAAAUUAAGAAAAUUAUUUUUUUAAAUACUAAAAUAAUACUUUUUUGUCAAAAUUAAAAGAUAACACAUAAUUAAUUGGUACUUUUUUUUUAGUGGGCAUUGUAGGGUGUUAAUCAUUCCAUAUAUGUAAUCAACUCCCAAACUCAAACUAUUUUUGCAAACCUAAAAAUUAUUUUUUUAAUAAAUUUUAAUUAAAUUUAAGAUUUUAUGAAAAAUAUAAACUUUAAUAAUUGGCCAAUCACAUCUAGCCAAGAAAGAUUGGUGGUGACUCCUUUUGGUUUUUUUUUUUUUAAUUCUUCUAACGGUCCUCGAAAUCAUUACGAUAGCUUGGUAACUCUACUAAGGACAUCAUUUUUUUAGAGAGUCAUGCCAAAAAAUUAAUUAUGUGUUAUCUUCAAUUUUAUUUAAUGAUCUUAAUUGGUAUUUAACUUUGAUUUUCUUCUUGAUUUUGAUUUUUUUUUUUAAAUAACAAUAGUAAAAAAAAAUUUUUAAUUAUGUUAAUGUUAUAUCCCUUCAUUCAUUGCAUUUCAUUGUAAAGAAUUUAAGAUUAGGUUUUCAAGUUAUAUCCCCUCAUUCACAUUGCACAUUUAUAUCAUGUAUGAGUUCUAUACCCAGCCUCUGUCCUUUUUAGGAGGGAGUAGAGUACUUAUACUAUUGUGAGGUCAUAACAUUUGCAAAUGGCAAACAAAAUACUCUCACUCAAAUUGAACUCUUUUCGCUUGUAGCCUAUAAUGGGUAGGGAUAAGAGUGCUUUAGUAAUCUUGCAUGGAUGUUAGUGAAAAACAAUUUAGGAGCCUUUUAGACAUAGUUAAAUCCGAACCAAGCACAUAGUAAACCAUAAGGGUCAACCCUAGGUAGAAUCAUGCCGACGAUUUCAUAAAAAUUACAUAGAUUUGGGCAUGAGAGGAACAUCCUGAUACAAUCUUUAUUUAGGUGUAGAAUAGUGCAAAUAAAACUAAAAUUUAAAAAAAAAGAAAAAAUGAGAAGUAAAAGAAAAAAAUUCUUUUAAUAAAUUUUCUUUUUAACAUAUAGUUUGAUUCAACUAGUGCUUAUUCAAAAUUUGCAUCUUUGAAAAAUAUUUUCUUAAAAAAAGACUUUUUUUAGCAUUUUCUAACAAACAAAAAUACAAAAAUAAAAUUUUUCAAAAAAAGCUUUUUUAUUAUUUCUUUAUUUACUGACCGAAUAAAAAGCAAAAGCAUGAAAAAAAUUACAAAAACAAAAGUUUCUUUAGUAUUGGUAAUCUUAGUGCUUGUUUUUCCAUAGGAAAUGUUUUCUUGAAUUUUUUUUUUCUAAAAAAAGCAAAAAUUUGUCAAAAAAAGAAACAAACAGAAAAAGGGUUUUUUUUUUUUUUUAGUUUCUUUGUUAGAUUAAUAAAAUGCAAAAGCAUGAAGAAAAGAGAGAUCUUACCUUUUUAUUUCAACCAAAAUUUUCUUUUAAAUUUAGAAUCAAGUUGUUCUGUAUUUAUUAUGUUCCCAAAUUGUAUUUUUUUUUUUUCAAGAGAAGUUUUGAAAUUGAUCAAGUUGCCUUGUAGGCCUUACAAAAAAUGAUUUGGUAAGAAGUGCAAAAAAAAAAAAAAAACAAUAAAAAAAGAUGAAAGAAAAGAAGAAAAACAUUAAUUUACUUUUUCGCAUUGCAUUUAAAAAUUUUCCUUUACUAAUUUUUUUAAGCCUUUUGUGUUUUCUUAGGUUUGUUGCAUGCAUCAUUUUUUAUAUAAAGCAUUAGAAAUGUUCAUCUUAGAUAGUCUGUCAGUGAGAUUUUUAAAUAAUUUCAAGAGUCAUGAAUAGGACCUUCUGUUAGUGGUUGUCUUGGGAAGUCAAGGAAUAGUCUAAAAAUAAGUAGUAAGAAAGAGAAGAAUAAAUGAAAAGAAUGAAAAGAAUGAAAAGAAGAAAAAAGAUAAAGAAAAAGAUAAAAAAAAUCCAUCCAUAAGAUUUUCUUUGGGGCAUAUUAUUUGAUUGGUUUAGUAUUUGUUCAAGAUUUAAGUUUUUCGGAAUUUGCAAGAAAUAGAGUUGUAUUUUGAAUUUUAUCCUUUGUAGUUCAUUUAAUCCUUUUUGUGGUUAUUUCCUUCAUGUUUCACGUUUGAAAAUAAUAACAUAGCACAUGCACUCCAUCUCAUACCCAAAUGUUAGUGUCAAUUUAAUUAGAUUUGCAUUGUACUUGCAUUGUAUCUUAUGAAUAAAAUAUGUUAGUGUAUCUCAUAUAAGUAUGUUUCAUCAAUCAUAUUCAUGCCCUUCAUUACUCAUAUAGUAUGUCAUUGUAUUUCAUACAUGUAGAUUGAUGAAUGAUAUGAUUCUAUAAGAUGUGCAUUGUACAAAUAGCAUUUCAUACAAGCACACCAUCUCUCAUAAAAUAGGACAUUGGAUUUCAUGCAUAUACAUUCACAUGAUUUCUAUUAUGCAUAUAAAGCAUUUUAUAUAAGUGUGUUUUGUCAUUCAUAUACUGGAUUAUUACAUUAUGUGUAUAUACUCAAAAAAUGAUAUGAUUCCAAUUGUACUCGCAUUAUAGAUACAUUUCAUUUCAUGUAAAUAUGUUUUGUUACUUGGUGAACAUACGUGCAAAAAAAAUGAUUUUCAUCAAACUUUAAUGGUGCAUGCAUUGCAUUUCAAUAAUGUAUGCCUUAUCUUUAUUGUACAUACAUUCAUGAAUUCAUCAUGGAAAUGCCAUGCUAUUCUUGUAUUCUCAUAAUAUCCCAUCAUUCAAUGAAUAAAAAGCACUCUUUAUGGGUGAAAAAAAAAAGGGGUCCUAAAGUUCUUAUAAGAAAAAAACCAUGACAAAGGAAAGUUUGAUAAAACCCAAUUUUUUCAAACUAUUUUUUUUUCAUUUGAGUUUGGUAAGAGUAUCAAAAGGUUAAAUAUAAGAGAUGAUUGAGCAUCUCGAAGUGAAUAAGCCCAAGAUGAAAGAUAACAUUGUGGACAUGAAAAACAUGGUUAAUGAUCACAAACAAUUUGUAGCCUUUCUAGCUUUGUACCAAAAUUUGAAAGUAUAUUGUUGUUUCUUAAGAAAGAAUGGCUUUUAAUUUUUGGAUUUUUGUAAAUGAUAACGUAUUCAUUGAUUAGAUUUGAUUUAUGAAUUUUUUAUAUAUAUUUUCUAACUUUUAUGUGAUAUAAAUUUUUUUAAAAAAAUUGAUUUGCAAUUGUUUGAAAAUAAAGUCCCAUUUAAGUAGCUUACAAGAUCAUUAAAUUUUUUUUUUGAAACAAUAGGUCUUUUCAAAGGGAAAUAUAUGUUUUUUAAAUGGUGAGAAUCUCAAAGUAAUUGAUGAUUACUAUUAAAAAAUAAAUUCAUCUAACACGUUUACACCUUUCCUUCACCGUUCCUAUGUUUCAAUCCUUUUGAAUAAUUAAGGGACAUAAACUUCAACUUGCAAACCUUGUCAUUAUUUGAGAUAAUAAUCUUUUCUUCAGCAAUGAACAAAAUAGGCCAAUUUUGAAAAUUCAUUUUGAAUUUAAAAAAUCAAGUAAAAUACACUUUCAAAUUUUGAAUUAGUAAUUCAAUGUGUGUUAAAAUUUGUCAAUAUGAUUGAACCAUCCAUGCUUUUUCAAUGACCAUAGACACAAAAAUGCUUAAACUUUCUCUCUCAAGUAGCCCUUGUUUCACGUCUUAAGGUACAUUGACUUAAAGAAGCAAAAUUUCUUUUUGAAGACAAUUUGUUUUAUACCUUAAUAUCUUUUCCCUUCAUUUAAACAAUUUAGAACCAAAAAGAGCUUUUUUGUGAACUGUGUGAUCAAAUUUGGAACAUCCCAUAUAACUUGAUUUUCACCAUCGUAGGAACCUUGAAUGGAAAAUAAGAUGGGGCAUUUGUCACACAAAAACAAUUGAUGGUUAUAUCAUGCAUAAAAAAAGAAAAAAAAAACUUUUUACCUUUUUUUCCCUUAUUCAAUAAUUUGCUUUCCAAUCUAAAUGACCAUGUUUGAAUGAUGAAUGACUAUCUUUCUCUAUCCUUCACAUAUAGAAAAAUUAUUAAUUUGCUACCAAUUUAAGCCUAUUAAAUUUCUUGUUCCAAAAUGAACUCCGGCCAAGAAUCACCUUUUACACUAGGGGCAAAAUAGGGACAUCUUCAAGGAUCAUGAGUAAUAGAGCCCAACUUCAAAGAAAGUAUUUAAUUUUAAGAGCAUAUAACAUGCACCUUAGAGAUGAGAAUCUAGGGUAAAAAGUGAAUGAAGCUUCAGUUAGAAUCUCAAGUAAAAAAGAAGAUAGAAUUCAAGAAAGUAAAAUGUUAAAGUUGAAGUCAAAUGUUUCUAAAAAAAGAAAUAGCAAAGAAAGAAAGACUUGCACAUUAGAGAUGAGAGUUUGGGAUAAAAAAAUGAAUGAAGCUUCAAUUAGAAUAUCCAGUAAAAAAGAAGAUAGAAUUCAAGAAAGUAGCAUACUAAAAUUGAAGUCAAAUGUUUUAAAAAAAAGUGCAAAAAAAGAAAGAUACGCACCUUGGAGAUGAUAAUCUAGGGUAAAAAGUGAAUGAAGCUUUAGUUAGAAUCCUAGGUAAAAAAAAAAGAAGAUAGAAUUCAAGAAAGUAGAAUGUUAAAGUUGAAGUCAAGUGUUUCCUAAAAAGAACGAGCAAAGAAAGAAAGACACAUGAUUUUUCAUCUAGAAAAUGCUCUAUAAGAUCCUUGGCCUAAUUACCCUGAAUGACAUACUUUAAGCCUAUUUAUCCAUUCUUUCAAAACACAAAACCUUGGCCUAUAUUAUAUACCUUAAAGAGUCUCUUUUGAUUAAAUGUGAACACUUGAAUUGAAUAUCUAUGUCCUGGAAAAUUUAUAUAUACCUAUUAUUAAUUGGCAAGAUUUUAUCAAGUUCCUCAUUGUUAGAAAAUAUAGCUUUAAGAUGUAAGCCUAAAAUGGGCAGUUUGGAGCUAGAAUCACUCUUAAGUCAUCAAGAGAAUUUUAGAGUUUCAUGGUUCUAUCCAGAAUAGAAAGUCAUGAUGCAAAACCUUUUGAAAGAUCGAUACCCAUUAAAGACUUUGCAUUUCACCAAAUACUAAAAACAAAAAACCUAGCCUUUUUCUCAUUCCAAAUCUUUUUCAAAAAUUAAUGACUAGUUUUGAUGCACAUUGAAAUAUCAUGUUAAGCCAUGCUUUAUUUCAAUAAAAUAAAAGUGUUUUAGAAAAAAUAUCUCUUUAGUGAGCCCAAGUGUAAUCUUUGUAACUCUUAUCAAGCCUUUCUUAAGAUCUGCCCAUGAGUGAACAGAAUUGAAUUGUCAAUUACUCCAUCCACAAGCAUUCCAAAUAGUAAUCAUCAAUUUUCAAAGGAUUUGAAAGUUAAGUUUUUAAAUUUUCUCAUUGAUUACAAAAAUACUUUAUGUGGGAUAAUUUUGUGAUCAUUUUGGAAAAGUUUAGAGAUUAUUUGAGCAUCUUAUAUAGAAUAUUGAGAUAAUUUUUUAUGAAAAGUAAACAUUAAAAUUUGAAUAGAGGUUUUUUUGAAUAAAAAAAGAGUCUUUGUAUUUGCAUCACUUGCAUUCACAUUCAUAUUCAUAUCAUGAGAAAGACAUUUGAUCUGUAUGCUACAAAAAAAUUGCAUUUGCAUCACUUACAUAUGCAUUAUAAGAAAGACAUGUGAUUUGCAUGCUACAAAAAAAAUGCAUUUGCGUAACUUGAAUUACAUCAUAAGAAAGACAUUUGAUCUGUAUAUUGUAAAAAACAAAAUACAUUCACAUUUGCAUCACUUACAUUCGCAUUCGUAUCUACAUCAUGAGAAAGGCAUUCACAGUUGCAUCACUUUUAUCUAUAUCAUGAGAAAGACAUUCACAUUUACAUCAAUGGCAUUUGCAUUACAACAAAGACACUCACAUUCACAUUUGCAUUUGCAUUAUUGCAUCUGCAUCAUAAAAAAAAAUAUUUAUAGGUUUUAUCUACAUGAAAAGAAUAUUGGCAUCUGCAUUAUGAAAAGGUCGUAUGUAUUUUCGUCAAGCAUUUGCAUUUGUGUCAUUUUGAUUGGAAAUAUACAUUUGUGUCAUGAUUGCCUCUGUUAAAAAAAAAAAAUUUUGAGAAAAGAGUUAAAAAAAAGAAUAACAAUCUCUUAGUUCAAGAAAUAAAAAAAAGUAAAGUCUACCAAGAAAAAUGAUAGAAAUUUGAAGAAAAAAAAAGAAAGAAAAAAGAAAAAAAAAAGAAAAGCUGAAUGUGGCUAUAGGGUGAAAACCUUGCAAAAGGGCAAUUUAGAGUAAACUUAGAAGGUCUUAAAGCCAUUCUUGAUGUUAAGAUAAGAUGCCAACUAAAGGCGACCUAUACCCUUCAAAAGAUCUAAAGACUUCAAGACCCUAAAAGCUUGAAAUGCAUAAAAAAAUACUGAUUUUGAAAAUUUGAACCUUUUUGCCUCUUCACCAAAUGACCUUUCCAAAAUUUUGAACCCAUCACAGCUAGCCCUAUCAUUUAUCAAAAUGCCACAACAUGUUGGAUUUUCAAGAGAUUCAUGUUUUAGACAAAUUUAUGUCUUGUUUGUGAGCUUAUAUGGAAAAGUAUACACCCAUUUUUACCCUAUUUAGGUGGUGAAACCUACUAAUACCUUUUAAUCCAUUUGAAAAAAAAAUUAUCACCUUUUUCAUUUCUAAUAGGGAACACUAAUUCCUAAGAAACUCUUAAAAUCACAUUUGUUCAGAUAUUUUAUUCUUUUUGACUAAGGAAUUUAAUUAUGUGGAAUAAAUUUUGUUAACCUUUUUUGAAAAUUUAUGAAUAACCAGUCACAUUUUUUGUGAAAAAUAAAGAAAUCAUACUUGAUAAAUUAUUGAAAUGGUGAGAAUCUUUAGACUAGUUCAGAUUCAAGAAAGCAAAAUAAUUGAGGGAUUAAUGUUGUUGAAAAAGAAAAAAAAAAGGAAAAAUGUUCUUUGAGAAUGGUGGGGUAUCUUUUUGCUUUCACAACCAAGUUCAAAACACAUAUUGCAAGUUGCAUAUUAUGUGUUAAAAAAAAAAUGAAAAGGAAAACAUGUUGAAAGGAAAAUCAAAAAGCUUGUUGGGAAAGUAAAAAAAGCAAAAAUUGGUAAAUAGACCACAAUGAAAAUAAGUGAAGGCAUAAAGAAAAGAACAUAAGAAAAUAGAAAAGUAACCCUCUCAUGAAGAAGUUGAAAAGCUAAUUUGAUGAGUAAAGAGAAGCUAGCAAAAAUAAAAUCUAAGAGAAAAAAUAUGAUGUCAAAAAAGAUCUUUACAUGUACAUCCUCAUGUUUGCAUUUGCAUUAUGAAAAAGGUAUUUAUACUUGCAUCAUUGCAAUACACCUAUAUAACUAGGAUAGAAAUUUACAUUUGUAUAAAACAUUUGCAUCAGGAAAAACACAUUUACAUUUGCAUUUGAAAUGAGUCAUUUGCAUAUUUGCAUAAAAUAGUCAUUGGCAUCUUUUCAUGAAGUAAAGUUUCUUUCUGCGUGAUCAUUUUAAUAGUCUUUUUGCAUCAUGAUUAUGUCUGCCAAAUUUUGGGAACACUUUUGAAAGAUAAAAUUGAAAUAUGGGGUAGUUUCAAAUCUAAAAGAUAAGAUGUGUUGAAACAAAAAGGGGAAAAACUUUUGAAAUAAAAAGUGAAAAUUUGAAAGUGAAAAAAUUUCAAGGAGAUUAGGAUUAAAAGAAUAAGUACAUGAUUUCCUAGACCUUUGAGCAAAAUUUUAAAUUUCUAAAUGAUCUCUAAGACCUUCAAGUAAAGAUUCAAACAAUUUGUAAGACCUCUAGGCAGAACAUUUAAAUUUUUAAGUUUCAAUGCCUCUAAUUAGAGGAGUUAUCACAAAUGUCAAGAUCCGUAAGACCUCCAGGCAGAAUGUUUAAAUUUUAAAGUUUUAAUGCCUCUGAUUGAGGAGCUUUCGCAAAUGUCAAGAUUUGUAAGACCUUUGGGCCAAAUGCUUAAAUUUCAAAGUUCAAUACUUUUGAUCAGAUGAGCAUUCAUGUAUUUCAAUAUUGUAAGACCUCAGAGCAUAAUUUUUAAGACCUCUAGGCAAAACAUUUUAAAUUUUCAAAGUUUUAAUGCCUUUGAUUAUAAGCACUUUCAUAAAUGUUGAGAUUUGUAAGACCUCUGAGCAUAAUCUAUAAGUCUUUCGAUAGUAUUCAUAAGUCUUCCAAACUGAAUCUAUUUUUGUUUUGAUAUUUACAAGACCUCUAAACAUGAUCUUUUAUUUUAUUUUCAAAAGUUAUUUAGAAGAGUUUUUAAAUUUGUUUUCAAAUGGUCAAAAUAAAAAAAAAACCAAAAUAAAAAAAAAUCAAGAAAAAAACAUAAAAAAAAAACUAUGAAUCGUUAAUCAGGACAAAAUUAUUGUAUAUAUCUUUACUUUAUUCUUGAUUCUUAGUAAUAUGUAAAAAGGGAUAGCUUUAGAUAUAUAAUUUUGUCCAGAUUAAUUCAGUUUUGUUUGAUUUUUACAUUUGAUUUGAAAAUUUUAAUUUGGAUCAAUUUAAGCAUUUUAAUUAGAUAGACUCAUUUAGACCUUGUCUCGGAUUAAUUUCCAAAUCCAAUUCUAUUUGGAUCAAGGCUCAAUCUAAUUAAGAUUAAUUCAAAAUUUAGUUAUUUGGACUUGAAAGCCCAAUAAAGGCCCAAACUUCAAUUUAAGUCUAAAUUAAAUUUCAAAUUUAUUUUUAUUAUUUUAUUAUUGUUAUUGUUUUUAUUUUCUUUAUUUAUUGAAUUAAUUAAAAGUAAAAAAUGACAAAAAAAAUGCAAGAAAACACAAAAACAUAAAACAUGAAGAAGUGGCUAGCAACUUCUACCAUAACAGGCUAAAAUUUUCAAGAGCUUCAGCUUCACUACCCUGCUAUACUAAAAAACUUUGGACUGUUGCUACAAAUCGUCAGAUAAAAACCAAUGAUGAAAAUACACCAAACGGAGGGAAGUUUAGUUAUCCAUUUCCCUGCACACACUAGGCUAGACUCUUCUCAACACCCAACAACCUAUCUUUAUCAGCUAAGAAUCCACUCAAGAUCCCUUCCUCCUUUUAGAGCUGCAUCCCUACUAGCACCCAACCUUCACCAAGGCUAAGCCACCCUUGUACCUACUUUGCCAAGCCUUGUCUACCGAACCACCAUAAUUCCAUAAUCGUCCCCAUGCAUUGCCAAACCUAAAGGAAAAAUCCCCUUACACUUCCCUGCAAACUCAAUCAACUAGUUGUCACCUAAAACAGUCCACCAACUUCACGGCCUUUAACCCUAGUCACAAAAUCCCACUCCCACUAUCAAACAUUGUCCCAGUUGAAACCUUUGGGCACCCUUCAGCCUCGUUCAUGCACCAUCUCUCCACCAAAAUUGAUCUCCCUCCACUUAACCACCAAACACCCACUGCUAAGCCAAAUCCAUGCCCUAAUAAUAAAGUUAUAGAAACAGUGCAUAACUAAUUGAAAAACACCCUAUUUAACCUCCUAGCUAAACUCCAUCCCCAAUCUAAUGCUGUAACCCCCAAAACCUCUAAAAAAAAAACCUUCAUCUUAAGCCUGUGACCCAAUUGUACCUACCAUAAGCACCUAUUAGAAAAACCAAAAAAUCCCCCACCACUAUUAGCCAAAACAUUCAUUGGCAAAAAAAAAAAAAAAAAACCCCAUUACCAAGCUUAAAAAUCACAUAAAAAGAAAAAAAGAAGCAAAAACCACAUCUUCUAAGAGGGGAAAAAAAACACCAAGAGCAAAAAAAAUAAAAAAACAAACAAAAAAAGAAAAAGAGUUUUGUUUUGGAUGGCUCUAAUGAAGUUUUGGGUUGAGUUUUUCUUGGAAAAAAAGGUCACAAGGAAGGGAAACACAUACUAGAAAAAAUGUUUGGUAUGGGUGGUAAAAGUAGUAGUUUUUAGAGGUUGGAAUUGUGACCUUUAGGCUCAAAUCUUGGGAUUUAGGAUGAGUUUUUAAAAAACUAAGUCUAGAAAUGAAAGGAGGAAGGAAAUAGGGGUUUUUGGGUGGAUUUUAGGAAAAAUUAUCAUCAGUUGUUAGAAUCUGGGUUUGAAGGUGACCAAUCAUUUAGUGUUUUUUUUUUAAAGAGUUUAGAGCUUUUUUUUCUUUUUUGAAAUAAAGUAAAAAAAAGGUUUAGUAUUUAUAAGAAGAACCAAACAAAAAAAUAAAAACUUACCAGCUGACUUGCAUGUGGUCUUGACCCAACCUAGGGCCCUGCGCUCGAUCCAAUCUGAUGCUAGUCAAUUGCCUUGAACCGAUCCAGUCAUGAACUGGUCUAAUUGAGUCGACUAAACCAUCUUCAGCUACUGAAUCAUGUCUGAAUUGGAUUGAACCACUCUAAACCGUUGACCAAUUGUGACUGAACUUUUUUUAGGUAUUUUUUUAUUAUCUCCUUUAUAUAUAUAUAUAUAUAUAUAUAUAUUGCUAGAUCAUUUAUUUGUUUAUGCAUAUUUAAAUUUAAAAAUUUUAAAAUAAAUAUAUAUUUAAAAAAAGAAAUAUUUUUUUAAUUAUUAUUUUUAAAACAAAAAUGAAAAUUUUUUGAUGAUGUGAUAUUAAAGAAAUCCUAGUCGUGAUUCUUUAAAAAUCUUUAGGUGAGAAUAUUUUUCUAAAAUGGGACCAAAGUACUUAGUAUUUAGAAAUAUAUUUAACACAAAAAAGUUUUCAUUUAUUUAUUUUUUGAAUUAAAAAUUAAAAAAAUAUAUGACAAAACAAAAUAUUUUUUUAAUAUAGAUAUAAGGUUACAUAUAAUAAUGCAUAACUAUUAAUUGCAUCAAUUAAUUAAAAAUACGAAUUUUUUAUUAUGUUACUUCGAAAAUCUGAGUAGUUAUUUUCGAGAAUUCUUUAGGUGAACAAAUUUUUCAAAAAAAAUUGCUAAGGUAUUGGGAUAUUUAGAAUGAUUUUCAAUACAAAAAAAUCUCGAUUGCUUUUAAUUAGGAAAAAAAAAAAGAACUUUCAUGCAAUAGAGUCAAGAGUUAAUUCAUGUGCAUCAAAUUCUAAAAAUAAAUGAAAUAUCUAAAGAUGAGAUUCUAAAAAAGCCCAAGUAGUGAUUUUUUAGGAAUUUCUCGGUAAGAAAAUUUAUCUAAAAUGCCACAAAUAUGCUGAAGCAUUUGGAAUAAUUUUUAAUAAAUUAUUUAUCAUAUUUUUUAUAAAUAGAAUAAGAAAUAAAUGUUAAGAAAAUAAUUAUUUGGAUUGAAUUAUAGACAUCAUAUUUUACAAUAUGUUUGGUAAAUAUAAAUAUUAAAGAUAAAUAUAAACUACCGAGACUAUGAUUUUUGAGAAUUUCAAGUAGUGAUUCUUAAAAAUUCAUUAGGUGAGAAAGUUCCUCUUAAUAUUGUUAGAGUAUUGGAAUAUUUUUAAGGAUUUUUCAGUGUGCAAGGUUCCUAUUUAUUUUUCAACCAAACAAUUAGAAAUAAAAAUAUGUUUUUCCCUACAAUAAAGAAAAUAAAGAAAAUUAUUUUUUAAAUGCCAAAAUUAAGAUUUUUUUAUCUAAAUUAAAAGAUAACACAUAAUUAAUUGGUACAUUUUUUUAACGGGUGCUGUGGGAUGCUAAUCUUUUCAUAUACAUAACCAACUCCUGAGCCUAAAUUAUUUUUGUAAACCUAAAAUUAUCUUUUUAAUAAAUUUUAAUUAAUUUUAAGAUUCUAUUAAAAAGAUAAGUUUUAAUAGGUGGUUAAUCACACCUAGUAAAAAAAAAAUUAGUGAGGACUUUUUUUUUAAAUUCAUCUAGCAGUUCCCGAAACCAUUAUGACAUCAACAAUGAGAAUGGAGUCAAGAACUAGGGAUUUAAAAAACAGUGAAGUAGCAGAAUAGAAGCCACUAUUUUAUGGUAAUAUUGAUGUCCACCAUAGCUAUUGAAAAAAAAUCGGGUGAGAAUGCCAUUCAUGAUGGUAAUGGCACGUCACGAUCGUAAAAAAUAGCCUAACAGUAAAUAGCAUAAAAAACGGACCGUUAUUGCCGCAACUCUAUUUUUUGUCUAAAGAAAAAAAAUCUCAAUUUUCAUUUAAGAAAAGCUUAAAAACAAAAAAAAACACAACCUCAAUCAAAUUUAAAACCUAAAUUAAGAUAAGCACGAGCAAGUAAAGAGGUGGGGUUUCAAGUUUGAAAAAAGAAAAAGGUGCACCACUCAAGGGGAAGAAGAAAGAGAAAGGAAAAGAGGAAAGGUUGUUUAAAGCUGGGCAACUCUAUAACAAAUUUUGAAACCCCAAAAAUAUUCACUGGCAGAGACAAUUUUCUAUAACUUCUUACUUUGAAUUGUUUUUUUCUCUUUGCCUAUUCCUCCUUUUGUUAAUUUGCAUCUCUCUUUAAAUAAGCAAUUUAUUACCCAUUAAAAAUAGACUCUAAAUUAAGGCAAAAUUUAAGCUCUAAAAGGAUUGCUUCAUCAUCCAACUAUCUUUAAAACAGCUUAAUCUAAUCCAAAUUGCUUUUGAAGCUUCUUAAAAGUUUUGUUCUUUGCUUAUCCAAGUUUAUUGGGCUUAAGACCCGAAUGAAGUCUAAGGCCCUAACUAGCUAAUUAAGAUCUAUAAGAAUUUUUAAAAAUCCGUAAACUUUGAUUAAUGGCUAGAAAUCCAAAAACUUAAGACUUGAAAAUCAAAAAUAUUUCAAGACCUCGGACAUAAUAGAGUGUUUACAACACAUACAUUAACAUGCCUUACCAAAAACACAAUGCAUAGAGGAUGUCCCAUUUUAACGUGCCAUUUCAAAUGAAAGCCCAUAUGAUAAGGACAAUCACGUUGGUGAACUCAUUUGGGGUCUCAAACUAUUUGUGUCAUUCAAUCAGAAAAGAAGGGUUAUGGCACAAAUUAAUCAAGUAGGGGCAAAUAAUUAACUUGCUUUUUGGGUCAAUUUGCCCUAAGGCAUGGAACAAACAAAGUAGGGUGAGAUUUUGGGCUUUCAUGUAUUUGAGGUCAUUUAAUGAAAUUUGGGUGAUUUUAGCCUUAGCACAUUUGACACUAUGGCAUAGUUUUAAUGCGUCAAAUUACUAACAUCCAAAUUCUUUAAAAAAAUGUCGCAUGUGUUGGAUCUUUAAGAAAUCCAUUAAAAGGUUUUUUGCUUCUUUUUUUUUUUUUGAAAUUGAUCAUUUCAUUAUUCAUUUCCUAGGGAAAGAUCAUCACUUUUUUAUAUAAUAGUACGAUCAAAUGAAGAUAAAGCUUAUGAAUUCAAAUUCAUGCCCCCUAAAAGGUUAUGGCUUAUGAGUGAAAUUAUUCGCGUGGUUUGGAACAUAAAAGUAUUUAAAAAAGGUCAAGGUAUUGGAUGAGUUCAUUUUUAAUAAUAAUCAUCAAUUUCUUUGAGACUCUUAUAACUUUUUAUAUAAAAAUGUGAAUUUCUCCUCUUUUUUUAAAAAAGGCCCUUUUCUCAAUUUUUUUGUCUUGCUUUUUUUUUUUAUCCUUAUUUUCCUUCAUGAUCUUGAAAAUUGUUUAUAUGGGGCUUUAUUCUCAAAUAAUUGCAAAUUAAUUUUUCUUCUUUCUUUUUUUAAAGUUUUCUUAAACAAUAUUUAGAAAAUAUAUAAAAAAUAAUAUUUACAAAUUCAAUCUAACCAAUUAAUAUUAUCAUUACAAACUCCAAAAAUUAAAAGUCAUUCCUUUUUAAGAAAUAACAAUCAACUUUCAAGAAUAUCCAAAACAAAAUUUUGUACAAAGCUAGAGAAACUAGAAAUUAUCUAUGAUUAACAACUAUGCCUUUCAUGUCCACAAUAUUAUUUUUCAUCUUGGACUUCUUCAUUUCGAGGUGCUCAAUCCUCUUUCAUAUUAAACUUCUUGAAUCUCUUACCAAACUAAGAUGAAAAAGAAGUAAACUGGAAGACAACUUGAGCUUCAUUAAAAUUUUCCUAGUCAUGAUCUUUUUUGCCAAAGACUUUAGGAUUUUUUUAUUUUUUAAUUUUCACCCAUAAUGAGCAUUCUUUAUUCAUUAAAUAAUGGGAUGUCAUGAGAAAACAGUUAAAUAAAUGUGUGAAUGACAUGAUAUUUUCAUGAUGAAAUUGUGAAUGUGUGUGCAAUAAAGAUUAUGCAUGCUUCCUUAAAAUGUAAUGUAGGUACCAUUCAAGUUCAAUGAGAAUCAUAUUAUUUAUCCACGUAUACACAAAAUAACAAGACGUAUUUACGUGAAUGAAAAGUAUUUACAAUGCGAGUAUGAUGUGAAUCGUAUCAUUUAUGAAUAUAUGCGCAUGAAAUGUAAUGUCCUAGUGUAUAGGUGAUAAGACACAUUUAUGUGAAAUGUAGUAUAUAUACAGCAAAAACCAUGUAAAAAUAUAUAUGCAUGGAAUGCAAUGUCCUAUUUCAUGAGAGAUGAUGUGUUUGCAUGAAAUGCAAUAUAUGUACAAUUCAAAUUUAGAAUCAUAUCAUUUGUGAAUGUAUAUGCAUGAAACACAAUGAAACACAACAUCAAUAAUGGUAAGUAUAUAAAUGAUGAAACAUGCUUAUACAAAAUGCACUAACACACCAUAUACAUGAUAAGAUAUGUUUACAUAAGGUGUAAGGCAUGUGUUAUGCAAAUCCAAUAAAUUGACAUUAGCAUUUAAAUAUUUGUGCGUGAAAUGAAUUGUCUGUUCAACUUUAUUGUUUUCAAAUAUAAACAAUGAUGAAAAUGAAUGUAAAAAGGAUCAAAAGAAAUGUAUAAGGUACGAUAAAAUAAAAUUUUGUUCUUUCCCUUUUUUUAGAAAGAAAUAAUAAGUCAAGAAAAUAUUUCCUAAAAGUCAAGCACAUAAAAGAUUUAGAAUUCAAAUAAUUUCUCAUCUUUUAUUUCAUGCUUCCACUUUUUUUUUGGCUAAUAAAACCAAAAAAUUAGGAAAUUUUUUUUAUUUUUUAAAAAUAAUUUUAUUUGUUAUUUUUUGUUUGUUGGAAAAUACAAAAAAAAAAACACCUUUUUUAAAAAAUAUUUUUUAAAAAUAUAAAUUUUGUACGAACACCAGAUGAAUCGAACUACAUGUAAAAAAAAUUUUAUUGAAAGAAUGUUUUUCUUUUAUUUUUCUUUUUGCUUUUUUUUUUUUAAUUCUAGUUUUAUUUGCAUUAUUAUUAUCCAUAAAUACAUAUUAUAUCAAAGUGUUUCUCAUGUGUCCUAAUUUGGAUAAUUUAUACAAAUAGGUUAGCAUGGCUUUAACUAAGGUUGUCUCCUUAUGGUUUAUUAUAUGCUAGUUCAAAUUUAUCCAUGUCUAAGAGAUUCCCAAAUUAGUCCUCAUUGACGAUCAUGCAGGAUUGGUAAGACACUCCAGUUCUUAACUGUUAUAUGCUACAAACGGAAGGGUUCAAUGUGAGUGAUAGUAUUUCACUUGCUAUUACGAAGGUUAUCACAUCACAAAAACAUAGAUACUCUAUUUCUUCUUAAAAAGGAUAGAGUCUAGGUAUAGAGUUCAUGUAUGAUAUGAAUGUGCCAUCAUGUGUAUAAAGGAACAAAGUAUUAUAAUCCUUAUCCUAAGCGCCUCACAAUUAAAAAUAAAAAUUAAAAAAUAUAUAUAAAGCAUAAAAUAAGUAAUGAAUAAAUGAAAUAGUUAAAACUAGUUGUUAGUGAUUUUUUCUUUUUCUUUUAUUAUUAUUAUUAUCUAUAAAAAUAAAAUCAAUAUUAAAGAAAUUAAAGUUAAAUACCAAUUAAUACCAUUAAAUUAAAAUCAAAUAUAACACAUAAUUAAUUUUGGCCUUACUCUUGAAAAAAUUACAUUAUUGGUGGAGCAGCCAAACUGUGUCAUAACGAUUUUAGGGACCACUAGAUAAAUUUUUAGAAAAGUUAAAAUCAAAGAGUUGCUACUAAUUCUUUUUGUUAGGUGUUAUUGGUCACCUAAAAGUUUAUAUUUUUAAUAAAAUUUUAAAAUUAAUUAAAACAUAUUAAAAAGACAAAUUUUUAUUUGGUUUACAAAAAUAAAGCUGAGUUUAAGAAUACAAUUAUACGUAGGGAAAGAUUAGUAUCCCCACAAUACCCGUUUUAAAAAUAAUAUCAAUUAACCAUGUGUUAUAUUUUGAUUUUGAUAAAAAAAAGUCUUAAUUUUAAUAUUUAAAAAUAAUUUCUAUAAUUUUUCUUAUUGCAAUAGAAAAACAUCAUUUUGUUUUUUUUAGUCAUUUGCUUGAAAAAUAAAUAAGAAUCUUGAAUAUUGAAAAAUUUUCAAAGUAUUUUAAUAUUUAGACAAUAUUAAGAGGAACUUUCUUAUUUAGGGAUAUCUUGAGAAUCAUUAUUCCAACUUUUAAAGAAUUUCAUCAUUAGCGAUUCAUAUUUAUCUUAAAAUAAUAUUUUCUUUUUAAAAAUUUUUUUUAUUUUUUUAAGAAAUAAAAGGCAAACAAGAAAUAUUUAUUGAAAAUUAUUUUAAAUGUCUCAGUGUUUUGGGUACAUUUAAAAAAAAACUUAUCACAUAAAAAUUCCUAAAUAAUCAUUCUUGAAAAUCUCUACUUAUUUUUUGAAUUAUUAAUAUUUUACCUUAAAAGUUAUAUUACAAUAUAAUUAUUCAAGAAUAAAUUUAUCUCUUUACAAUAUAUAUAUAUAUAUAUAUAUAUUAUAAAUAUUUUACAUUUUUAUUUCUUUUAAGGUAAUUAUUCAAACUAAGAGAAAAAUAAAUAAGAAUUUUUGUAUUGAAAAGAUUUUCUAAAUAUUUUAAUACUUUAACAAUUUUUAGAAGAUUUUUCUCAUCUAAAAAAUUUUUGGGAAUCAUUAUUCGAACUUUUUAAAAUUCUAUCAUUGAAAAUUCAUACUCAUUUUUUACUUUUAUGAAUGCACAUGAUGCAAUGGUUUUUUUAUGGUACAAAUAAUUAAAAAAAUAUAGAUUUUAAAAGUAUCCAAAUAUUUAAAUUUUGAUAAAAUAUUUUCUUUUUUAUUUUUAUCAUUUAAUUAGAGCAACAAUAAUUAUCUUAAAAUAUAUCAAUUUAAGAUCUAAUAUAAAUGUGAAUACAAUAAGAAAAAAACAAACAAACAAAAUAAUUAAAAAAUUUACCAAAUUUUAGGUUUGUCCCAAUGAAAAAGAAAGUACAGUUAUUCACUCCUAAUUUUAAGUGGGCCAAAGCCUGGUCUUGUUUGGGCAAGCCUUGUCCAGGGCAGGUUGUGUGCUGGAUCUGGUCAGGGAAGAGUCAAAUCCAAUGCGGUUUGAGUUGACUGGGUUCUUUUGUUUUGUUUGGUUUUUUUUUUUUUUUUUGGUUUGUUUGUUAUAAAACUCAAAACUUUUUUUAUGGCUCAAGGGUAAAAAAAGCUUUCAACAAAAAAAUCAUUUAUCAAUUAAGCGCUUAAUAUUUUAUUACAAUCAAUUUUUUAAUAUUUUAUUAUAAUCAAUUAAAUUUUUUAUAUUUAAUUUUUAUUAAUUAAACCUAAAUUGAACGAAAGGGGUUAAAUAAUUGUUGAAACCAUUACUGCCAUUAUAGGUAACCUACGUGGAUUUUUAAAUACAAACGUGUCAUUUGACAUGGAAAAAAAAGUCCAACGUGAUAAUAGAGCUAGAAAGGCUUGAUACGUUUUUUCUCUUUUUUUUUUUUUAACUGUUUAAACUAAAGUUUUUUUUUUUUUUCUAGCUUAUUUCAACCUUUCUUUAAAAAAAAAAAAAUCUAAAACUUUUUGAAAAGGAAUCAAGAAAUAGAACCAGCCACCUUUAAUCCCAAAAAUUGGUAAUUUUUUUGCCACUAGUGGCCGCCUUUGCCAUUGUCGACCGUCACUUGCCAGCACCAGAACUUCACCAAAAUUCACCCAAAGCCUGCUUUUUGACCUUUUCUUUCACGUUCUGAGUUUUGUUUUUCCUAAAAAAAGGCCAAACUUCCCAGAUCUGAGUUUUAACUUACAGCUUCAACAUAAAAAAUGUCUCUCCACCGUGCCAAUUAUAGUAUGUUCUUCCUCAAGCCAAGGCCUUCCUCCUCAACCAAAAAUUCGAAAAUCGCAAUAAAUGUUUUUUUUUUUUAAUUCUUCUAGCACUUUUCUCUCUUUGGGGAUGUGUUUGUUUGUUUUUUUUUUUCUAUUUUGGUAGGUUAAAAAAGUGUUUGAAUAUUUUUUCUUCGGCAAAGAUUUUUUUUUUUUAAAUCUAUGGGAAGUGUGCUUUUAGUGGGUCUCGACUGGGUUUUUUUAAGUUACUGGUUAUGGUAGGAGUCGAAGUUGUUUAUAGCUAUUUCGGCUAGCAAGAGAGAUCGGUUGGUUUGACAAAAAAGGGGAGUGUUUCCGUAGUGUUAGGUGUUUGUUCUACAAUGGUAAGGAGAAGAUCGUUUUUGGGUUUUGGGAAUGGUCUUUCUCUAUAAAAAAAAAAAAAAUACUAGGCCCCCAUUUGAUGGUAGUCUCAGUGAUAUGGAUAGUGUUGGGUUUUUAGUAGUUUGUCUGGCAGUGCAAUUGUGGGAAGAAAAUAUUCUACCUUUCUAACUCUAUUAUCACGUUGGACAUUUUUUUCCGUCACAUGCAACGUUUGUAGUUAAAAUCCACGUUGGUUGCAUGUAAUGGAUUCGAUAAUCAUUUAACUACUUUCUGUCCAAUUUAAAUUUAAUUAAUCAAAAAUUAAAAAUAAAGAAUAAUGGAUUGAUAAAUUUUUUUUUAUUCAAGGGUUUUUUGAUCCUUAAGCAUUUUUUUAUUCAUUUCGUCACUACCAAAAAAAAACUUACCUUCUUUACAGCCCCCUCCCUCUACCAAGCCCAGAUUCUGGCGACGACGGCAGGGUCGGACGGUUGCUCGCCGCCGGCUGCAGCCGCCAUUCGACGUUAUUUGUGUCUUAAAUUCCAACCGUAGAUUCCUCUCUUCGUCCUCUUUCAUAAUCUUCAUAUAGAUUUUUUUCAAAACGCCCUAGAUUUCCCUAGAUCUGAGAUCAAAGUCGGCGGUUUCAACCUCCAAAAAGCUUAUUUCCACUACUUUAACGAGCCCCAUUUCUCACUAUGUUGAUUUUCCCUUCCUCCUCUUCCUCUGCACUGUUUCGGCUUCCUUAAAACCCAGCGCCGCCGCCAUCCCUCCUUGUGCCGCUGCUGCUGUCGUGGUUUCUUACAACCCAGAAAAAACCCCAUCUCUCACCUGUCCUACAAACCCUAAAAGGCUCCCCACAAAUCAUCCAUGAAACAAAAACCAUCCAAAAACUGAAACACUUUUUCAAUUUUGCUACGAUUUUUGCUAACUUUUUUUUUUUUUUUUGACUGGAUUCCUCACUUAGGUGAAGACCGUGGUUUUUCUUUUUGGUGUGAUUUUCGUUUUUCAACUUUUUUUAUUUGGGUGGGUGUGGUCGAAUGGUUUUGGUUGUAGUGUGGGAGGGAUGGUUUCGGCUAGGCUUGCUUUGGGUGGGUUCUGUUGAUUAAUGGAGGAUGUUAGUUGGUAGGGGGUUUUUGGGAUUUGGGAUGGUGGCCAAGGGUGUAGGUUUUUGGGGCUGAGUAUGGUGGGGGGAAUGGUGUUCUACUGUUAGUGACCAUGGCUUGGGUGCUGGUGAGGGUGGCAUUGAUAAGGGUGGUUCGACUGGGAUGGCUAGAGCUUCUAGGAUUUUCGGUCUCUGGUUGGUUGGGGGCAGAGUUAGGAAGGGUGGUGGACGAGAGGGGCAGCAUGGGUUAAAGAUGUAAAUGAUAUAUUAGUACUCGUAAGUUAUUUGGGUUUGAUUCGAAUAAAAUUUAAAUUCGAUUCAAUUAUUAUCGAGUCGAGUUGGAGUUCGAAUAGCUCGACUCAUCGAUUGAGUCGAGUUCGUGUAUUUUUAUAUUCAGUUUGAUUAAUUCGUGAGCUUAAUCAAAUUUUUAUAUUUAAAUAUAUUUUUAUUAUUUUAAUUAAUAAAAUAUCUUGAAUUCGAAUACAAAUUCGAACAUAAAUAAUCGAAUUCUUGUCAAAUAUACGAAUCGAAUUUAUUUUUAUAUAUUAAUCGAACUUAAUCGAGUGAAUUUAAAUAGUUCGAUUUUAAUUACAAAAUCGAAUUCAAACUAAAAAAAUAAAAUUCGAUCUAACUUAAGUUAAAUAUCGAAUCGUGAGUUGAAAAUUCAAAUUGUAUCGAUUCGAUUCAGCUCGAUUAUAUCCUUAACAUGGGUGGUGAUUUUAGGCUUCCAGUGAUGGUCCUUUGGUGUGCUCGCGAUGGGGUCUCAACAGUGCUGAGUUAAAAAUGGUGAUGACUUGUUUGGGUUGGUUCGGGUACCAUGGGUAGAGAGAAGCUCGUGGAGCUUUUUGGAUUUUUUUGGUCUAUCUUCUCCCCCUAUGCUUGUGAAUUCCAGCCCUUUUUUUGUAGAACCAGAAUGGAACUUUUGUGGCUGGCACUUUGGAGUAUUACUGCAGCAGUAGUUGCUGCAUUUUGAGGUUUUGCAAUGCUGCAUUUUGGGGAAGAAAAAAUGAGGGAUUUUGAACUAAUCAUGUUGAAAGUAAAUGGUGAAAAUUCGAGGGAAAAACAGUGGAUAGCUAGAGAUGGAAAGUGGUCUUGGUUUGAAGAGAUAUCCAUUGACAACCGAAAUCUCAACCUUUUGCAAUAUUUGUUUGUUUCUUUUAAAUUUUUUUAAAUAAUUAAAACCUAACAAAAUGAGCCUUGGGCUUUAUUUGAGAAUUUUCAUUGGGUUUUUCAAGCACAAAUGACUUAAUUUAAUUGACUUAAAAUGAAAUUAGAUUGGGCUUUGACCAUGCAAGAGUGAUUUAAAAAUAAUUGAUUUGAAACAAAGUACAGUUGAAUUCAAUCAAUUAAAUUCAAUUAAAAUGCAUAAGUGAGCUUAAAUCAAAACAUUCAAAUAACAUUUAAAAUUCGAACAAAUUUUAAUCUACUUAAAUAAUUUGUACUAAAUCAAGUGUCUACAUCUAACUUUUGCAUGCUCUAAAUAACCUUCCUAAUUAAAAUAUUUUCUUGCAGAUUGUAAAAGAAGUACAAUGUCAAUCCUCUACGCUGGUUCUUUUUUUUUUUCGGUUUAUUUGAGUUCCUAAAUUGUCCUGGACCUGAUACCCAGGUCUUAACUGAUAGGUCUUGCAUGGAAUGAUUUCUGGUUGAUACUAUGACGGGCGAAUGUUGCUGAUGAUUGUGAUGUACUAUUCCGUUGGAUAUAUGUAUUUUUAUGUGCAAGAGUCAGAAGCAUUAUCUGCAUUUAUUAGCCGUGAACUCCUUGUCUUUAGUGUCUCUGAUUGCUGCCUGAUUAUAAGUAGAGGUGAUAAAUAGUAGCUUUCUGUAUUAGGGAUAGAGGUAAGAAGAGUUUGAUACUAGCCUGAACUAUCCACCUGUUAUUGCAGGAGUAGUGGGAGGAAGCCAUCUAACCAAAAGGAUUAUCAUCUUAUACACUGGUGUUGGAGUUUAAAAACUUCACAAGCAGGUUCAUAUUCUUGGUACAUAGCCAUUUAGCAAACAUGUCAACCUAAUAAUCUUGUAUUGACUUCCUUAUAUAGAUAAAUCAAUACAUCAUAAUUUAGUCCCCUAAGCUGGUGUAUAGGGUAUUAUUCCUUAAUUUUUAGUCCCCUUUUCCUCUUUCAGGAUGAACCUACCAAAGGAGGAUAUAUUUAUGAUUGAUUAUAUGUGCUUUAUAAUCCUGAUGGAGGAUCUAUAACCAAGAGGUGCUGAUAUAACUAUUUAUUGCAUCAUCUCUUGGAUGAGAGAAACACGAGAAAUUUUAGCAGUUGUAACUGAAAAUUUUUUUUCUCGUUCUGGAAAGUGAAUGUUUAGGAUUGAUCUAAUGCUGUAGCUGGAAAAAUGGUUUAUUAGCUAAUAAAAACGGUUCAUUUGGCCAAUUGUUGCCAAGAGAUAUAUGUGAUCAUAUCAAAAAACUAGCAGGUAAGAAUUAAGAAUCGUUUAGCUUUUAUUACAAAUUGAGAAAUGACCGGCACUACCUUACUCUUAAAACCAGAAUGUUGCUCUCUAGAUUUCUUUAGUUUUCUUGUUCCAUAACCUCAUUUUUCAUUAACUUCUAUUCUUACUCACAUUUGGGGCUUCUAUCUUAUGUUAAAUUGGAGCAACCUCUGUUAUUCCAUUGGUAGACAACCAUUAGAGUUUCUCCUGAGGUUUGGAUUCAAAUGUGAACGUGAUGUCGGUAUCAGCUGAUUUUAAGAAAAAGCACAUGAUUUAGAAUCCUACAGAUAGUCUUUUCAACUGUUAGGCACAGCUGAAUUUUUAUUUUCGUAUAUAUCUUUUUUAUAUUUUUUCUCCUCCCUCCCUACAAGCAAUUUAUCAAAACGGGGUACUAUUUGAGAAAGCUACAUCACUGCUCUAUGACAAACUACUCUAUUCUAUUUGAUGAUGCAUGCUUUUCUUUUGGGAUCUCGAGUGUUGCUCUCAUAUAGGACUUACUGGUAGAAAGUGAUAUAUCCACACUAGAUUUACUUCCUUUUUCAUGCUGGACUAGAAGAAUUUUGUUGAACCUCAAUUUUCUUUUCUUACUUGGUGUUGAGAAUAUCAUAUUUAAAGCUCCUUGAAGUCAAGAAAACAUCAAGUUAAUAUAACUUAUUAAGUUCUUAUUUACUUAUAAUUAUAUUUAGUCCGACUUUAGGUUAUAUAAUUGUUCACUUGGGUGAGAUUCAAUUUGGAACUGUGUGGAACUGUGGAAGUUUAUAAUCAUGGCCGUGGCUAGUAUGUGUGAAUGGAGAAGGUUGUUCGAUAUCUGUUGUUUUCUUCUACCUGUUUUGAAGUGUCAUCCCAGACAUAUAACAGGUCAGACCCACUGUGUGUUUCGCUAUAGACUACAACCAGUAGUUAAAUGGUCUUUUCAAGCUUAAAGAUUGACAAUGGCUUAGAUUUUUCAUGUGCAAUGUGAUAUAGCUUGAUGCAAACCUUUAUUUGAAGCAGCUAAAAAAGAUUACAUUACGUAAUGAAUAUCGCCCCAUAUCUUCGUUUGGUGCUUUGUAUGCUGUAUAUAUUAUUUGCGUAUUUACUCGCUGUAAUGCAUUAACAGGGUGAUACUUCCAUAAUUUCCCCAUUUCCCCCUUAUCUGUGUAUUUCAACUCCGAGAACUUUGUCUUUUUUGAGGAAAGUAGGGUUAGACAUGAGGAUGUUUGAACCUUCAAGCAGAGCUAGUGUUUUAUUGAAAAUGUCAAAGUGCUUAACGCAUACUUUUUUUUUUGUUGAAAAUAUAAGCCUUUUUUGCUGCUACAGAGUUAGUACCUGAUUGUAAAUGCAACAAUAAAGGUUUGAACUUUGAACCAAUCAAAGUUAUCUAUUUUGGUAUGCAUCUCCUCUGCUCUCAAACAGUUGAUCAUUAACCAAUUAUGACUGCUAUUCCAACUUUCGUGUCAAACUAAAAAGUAUCAUGGUUGCUUGCUUGAUGCUUCAAGUUGCUAGCUCAACAGCCUGCCCAAUGUCCUGAUUAAUUCUUCAAAAAAUAUUUAGCUUCAUUUUCAUUUCUAUACAUUUAGAUUAAAGCAUUACUUUACCUUUGCUUUGGUGUCGUUUGUACCUCAAAAAAUUGAAAUUAAAAAGAGAGACCUCAUCCACUAAAUGGGACUGCAACAGUAGGAUUCAUGUUGGUGAUGGCAGUAGGGGGGGGGGGGGCAAUGCAACUACUUUAGUUUGUCACAAUUUGCAAACAGAUUCAUUAGAUGAAAAUCCCAUAGAAACACAGAGAACAGACACAUUGAAGACCCCUUUAAAAGUCAACACGUAGCCAGGCAAGGGGGGUUUGAUCUCAUGGUUCAAUUCACCUCUUAUUUUAAAUCCCAUAUCAUAUCAACCAAAGUGCAAAAAGAAACUAAAAAGAAGAAAAAACAAAGUUGAGGAGAAAGCAGGGUCAAGAUAAGUUUGCUUGCAAUGUCGCAGCUAAACAACACACUCUUUUGUGUACUCUCAUUCUAGCCAUUAAUCUUUGAUAAUUUUCACAUCAAAUUUACAAAACAGUGGUAAUAUUGCAUACGUUAAAAAAAUAAAUGAUAAAUUUGAUUUUCAUCUUAAAUAAAGUUCACAAAUUUAAACCUUAUCUCUUAAUUUUAACGAACCUUAUUAACAGUGCAGAAUAUAAAAGCUUUAUAUUGGAAUGUUGAUGGAUGUAAACUUAUACAGUAUCCCCAAAGAGAAAAGUCUGAUACACCUCAAAGGCUUAUCCUGUUAUCCAAAUUUGAGUCUCACAUCAACAGAAGAGAAGCGGACAUGAGUAAACAAAAAGGGAGAAAUGUAGAGAAGUGGACGUGACAUGGGAGGAAUCUGUUGUUUUUUGAGUGCUUUCUUCAGCCCUUAUGGGGUCCAUCAACACACCUUUUUUUUACUGUUUUUGCACAUUGGUGGGUCAUGGCCUUGUUAACAUUAAUGGAAAACAAAUGAUAGGAUUUUAAUUAACCCUAAAAAACCUUAUCCUGCUUAUAAGAAUUAGUUCACUUGACAAAAAGAAUAAUUUUUUUUUUUUUUAUUCAUCUUGGUUCGAUUUUUAUGGAAAAUACUUUAGGGAUGAAAUCUUAAGUGUAACAAAUUGUAAAAAUAUGCGUCUUUAAAAUCAUCCAAUCAAAAUUUUAAAAGUACUCUUGAGUAUAUAUAUCAUAAAAAUUAAAAAAACGUUAUCAUCAUUCAACAUUUACCACCAUUUUUUUUUGGGGGGGGGCAUUGUCACUCUCAAAAACGUGCUUUCAUGUUCUAAUUAUACUCUUAUUUAAGUUCUAAUUAUACUCUUAUUUAUACAUACAUAUAUAUAUAUAUAUAUGAUUUAAGGGUGAAAAAUGCCGCCAUCACGAGAAUAUAAUCAUUGUAAUGAAAUCCCUAUCACAUAAAAUUCUUUUUUUUUUUAAAGAAAUAAAUUUAUGGAGUAAUAGAAAAGAACUGAACCAAUAGGGUAUAUAUGCAUAUAUCAUAAUUGUAUGAAAAAGUUUACAAGUCAUUGUAGCAUUAUUUUAUCCCAUGCCCCAUUUAAGUGACUGCCUAAAUUGUUUUUUUUUUUUUCAGUGUUAUGAAUUUGUUUAAUUAUAAUAAAUUAUUUAUUAUGAUAUUGAAUUUUAAAAUUUUUAAUGUAAUAUUUGAAUUAUAAAUUUAUUAAUUAAAAUGAUAUUCAUUUAUGAUAUAAAUAGUUUUAGAUGAUUAUAUGUAAUAGAUAAAUAACUCACUAAAUAUCAUAUUAAUUAACAUAUUUAUAAUUCAUAUAUUAUAUUAAAAUUUUUUAAAAUUUGAAUAUCAUAUUAAAUAUUUUAUCAUAAUUUAUAAACUAUUCGUAACAUCACUUUUUUUUUUUUUGCAAACAAAAGAUACCUUUCAUGGGAUAUUUGGUUUACAGCAUUAAGCAAGUUAGCAAGUGGGUAUUUAUCUUUUUGACAUCACAACAUACUAAGAGGCAUAUAAUUUUAAGCACUACAAAAUUUAUUCAACCAACUCAAAAACAAAAAUAUAGAGAAAAGUUAUAUGCCUUUCAUGAGGUUGAGAAUUUGAGAUGAAUAUUGGCAAGUUGUAAUUUAGAGAGGAGGAGAAAAAAAUGAAAUGAAAAGAAAAGAAGGGGAAAAAAGAAUAAACAUAUAGGGGUGGGGAGGUUGCUUUUGGUGAGGUGGAGACAGAUAAAUGUGGAGGUUAAUCCACAUGGUAGACAGCAGAUAUAUCUAAGUGUACAUUCACAUCACAUGCCCUCCCCUAUCCCCCAUGUGAAAGUAAACCUUUUGUCUGUACUGUCACUUUUCCUUAUGGCCUAUGGGCCAGGAAGCAAAAGUUAUCCAGCCACCCCUUAUUUAAUAUGUUCAUAAUUUUUCUAAUAUUUUCAUCUUUGCGAAAUUAUAAUUUUGCAUUUUUUUCUUUUAAAAUAAAAUCUAAGAUCAAGCCAACCAUAUAACAAAGAAGAAAUCUUUAAAUCUUUAAAUAUAUGUUAAGUUCAAAUCUCAGUGAGUUUUAUUUAAUUAAAUAUAUAUUAAUUUGAUUGUUAUUGGUUUGAUUUCUUUAUUAAUUUUUUUAUAUAUUAAAAUUUUUUAUUAUGAUUAUAAUUUUUUUGAUACAUAUAAUUUCAUCAAAGAUUUAAGACAAUAUAUUAUAUUUUGAAAUCAUAGAAGUUGUACAUUUGAAAUUAACGUUGACCAGAAAUCAGUACUAAAUUCAAAAAAAUCACUUCUUAUCGAGCAGGAAAAUUUUAUAAAAGUUAACCAAAUUAAUCAAUCCAUUGUUGAUUUGUAAUUUCUUCAAUUUUUAUUGGUAGAUUUUUAAUUUCAUUUCUUUUUCUCUGUUUAUCUUUGGCUGGUAAUUAUAAUAUGAAUGAUUGCAAGACGCAACGAAUUAGAAUUGGCUUCUGGAUCUGUGCCUCUUUUCUAUAAUUUCCAACAUGGAAAUUCAAUUCAGAAAGAGCCGCAAUAGGAGAAUCCAUAUAUCUUAUUAAUUUGACUAAUUAGAUGGAGAAAACAGUGCUUCAAAUUUCAAAAGUAUCAGUCAAUAAGAUGAAUGUCAAAUAAUUUUGCAAAGGUGAAAACAUGAAAAAUUUCUUAAUUAUAACUGUAAUUGGCUAAGAGCCUAUACAGUCCCCUCUUAUCAUUUACGUGUCUGGUCUUUUGAAACAAAAAUUUUUUUAACCCUUGUUACUUUUCCAUCCUCCUGUCAUGUCAAUUUGGUUUAUAUUUUUUAUUAUUUGCUUAAUUUUUUCCCUAAAUUUAAUAGAGCAAAUAAUAUAGUAAAACAUGAGCAUGUAAUUAAAAACAACAUCAAUUGUGACUGAACUUUUUUUUUGUUAUCUUUAUAAGUUGAAAUUUCUUGUCAAUACCUUAUUCCUUUGUUUGGGUAAAAUAGAAAGCAAGAGAAAAACAAAAUCAGAGAUAAAAAAAAAAAAAUUUCAGUCUUAACUUUUCAAGAUUUCGAUAUAAUUGUCUAUUUUACGAAGUAGUUUAUUUUCCAUUCAUUUCUGAAUUUAAAACUCAAUCCCAAGGUUGUUUUGAUGAUUCCCUUGGGCCAUUCAUAAUCAUAAAUUUCAUUCUUAUUAGCUCUUUAUUAAACAAAAUCUUUAUACUUAAUUCUUUGGUUUCGCCUCUCUCCAAUGAUGUGAUCAACAAGCAUUCCCCAACUAAAUAAACAAAUCUCCAUCACUACAUUUUUACAUUGAAAAAUUUUCCUUUUAUAUCUCAUACUAAUGUAAUAACCCAAAAGUAAGUGCUUUUCAUAUUUCAAGUCAGCCUAUGAUAUCAAAAACAUUGUGCCAAUGUACAUAUAAAAUUCUCAAAUGUUCCCAUGUCCAUGUGAAUCUUUUUGCAACUAUAUUAAAAUUGGCUGCAGAUCAUCCUUUUCCAUGCCCCUUUCAUUUUAUUAGCACUUGAAAUAAUAUAUUAAUAUAAAACAAAAGAAAGAGAAAGAGAAAGACGACAUAUAUGGUUAUGUACAUGUCAGGCUGUAAAUAAUGUGUAAGUGGGCAUAGUGGGAGAGCAUCUAUCCAAUUCCAAGCCAGCUAGAAAUCAAUUUCUAUCAAAGGCAUCUAUUUUUUUUUUUAUGAUACGGUCGGACAUACUUUUAGAUUUAAUCUGUAUUUAAUACAAUAAGAAAAAAAAAUACUAAAGUGAUAUUAUUUAAAAUUUUAAUAAUAAUUAUAUUUAAGUUUAACAAAAAAAAAGUAUUUCAUGUUUUCAUAAUAACAUAAAUUGUGAUAUGCAAUUUUUGUAAAAAAUAUAACAUAAAUACAUAAAUUUUAAUAUUUUAUACAAUAUGAAAUAUGAAUCGUUAGUUUAAUUUGAAGAUAAAAGAAAAUAUUAAAGAUAUUGAUAUUUGAAUAUAUAUAAAGCUUUGUUCCUAUCUAUACGUUUUGUAGCACAAACAAAAUAGGUGUAAAAAAAAUUAAAAACAAAUACUUAAGAGACUGAGACUUUGCUUGAUAGGAAAGAUAGAAAAAAGUAAAAAUAAAAAAUUUGUUAAUUUAAUGAUUAAAAUUCAUAAUCACUUUUCUACUUUCUAACUUAAUCAUUGAUUAAUAAGUUUUUUAUCCUCGCUCCUUUACAUCAUUUCUACCAAGUAAAGCUUAUUUGUAAAAAUACUUUGAGAAUUUAUCUUUUAUUAAUAAUUCAAAAGUAGCCACUGGUGGACGUUAAGUUAAUUUGCUUAUUGUCAUAAAUGUAGACACCAAAAUUUGUUUGAGAUGAUUCAGUUUUGAUCCCAUUUUAUGUUUGAUUUGGAUAUCUAAAUUUAGGCUCGUUUGAAUGCUUAUUGAACAUAUUUGAUGUUGGGCUCAAAAAGAUUUUGUUUUGGAUCAAUUCUUUGGGGUCACUUUUAAAUGGGCCAUUUCAUAUGAAUCAAAAUCAAUGAUGGGCCAUUUUGCAACCCAAUGCCAUGUUUUAAAGCCCAAUUGCAUUUAUUAAGAUUAAUUAAUUUAAUUAAUUAAGAUAAAUAAAAAAAAUUUUCAAAAAAAAAAAAAGAGACAAAAGGGGUUAAAAAGAGGUUAGUUGCCAUGGUAGUAGCUUCCCCCCACUUUCUCCUCUUCCUAAAUUUUACUUUUUCUUCUUCCCCAUUUGCCAAUCUCAUUUUCAGAUAAUCUAUUUUACCCUAUAAUUUUCACCUAUAUAUAGCAUCAUUGCAAGAAUACUUAUAAGCUCAUGAACUAAAAAUGUAGAACCUCUAUUGCAAUACUCAUCCAAAAAUCCUAAUCACCCUUUAUACCUAAAUUAAACGCUCACAGGUGUGAAGGAGGCUAUGAUUUGGGUACUGUGAAUAUGAACCCCAUGAAGUUCAUAAUAGAAGGGGUGUCGGUUUGUAGGAGAGGUUGACAGAAAAGAAAAACACAAAGCAAAAAAAGUUCUACAACUACUAGUUUUAGCACUAUUUGGCAAAAAUAACCCAUUUUCACCCCAUGCGUUUCAACAUUUAGCUAUAAGUCCCAAACCUUUCACCCACUUGCCAUCACCAGCCCCUUCAAAAGCACUCAAAAUAACAUCAGCAUCACAAAAAAAAAAAAAAAAACCACCAACUAGCCAAAAAAACCAUCCUAGCUCUACCAUCCAACAAAAAAAACCAUUAAUCUCCCUUCUCAUACCUAGUUGAAUCCCAAUCCAUUCAUAGCCCUAAGAACUGAAAAUCACCUUAUAUCUUCCCAAAAAUCACACAAAAAAUAGCAAGCAAAAUAUACUACAGUCAUCACUUGGUGAAGAACCCAGUAGCAAAAAAAAAUUCAAAAAAAAAAAUUCAGUGAUUCUUUAGACUGUUCGCUGAAACAAAAAAGAAGAGAAAAGAAAAAAAAGAAAAAAAGGGAGAGGAGUCUUGACUAAAUAAAAAAAAAGAAAAAAUCAAUAAUUGGAAAGAAAGAGAGGAAAAAAAGAAAAAAAAGAAAAAAAAAGGAAAAGAAAGAAGAGAAGCCAGUAGUGAUAAAAAAAAGGUGAAUUCUAGUUCAACUCGACAUCUAGAGGAGAAAAAAAGAAAGAAGAAGAAAGGGAGAAAGAGAAUAAAAAAAGAGAAGAAGAAAAAUAAGAAAGGAGGAAAAAGAAAAAAAAAGGUUUGAAAAGUCAAAGGAGAGGUUUUUUUUAAUUAAAAGGGCCAACAAUCAAGACCCAUUUCUAGCUGCCCGUUUGAAAAACUAUAUGUAAUCCAAGAAAGCCCAUUGGGUUUGUUGACAUUCUAUGUUUUGUCUUUAGCCCACAAUAAGGUAUAAUGUUCUAUCUUUUAAGCCCUAUUAUUAUCAUCAUGACAUUUAGAGUUUUUGGUAACUUGAACAUACAUGUCAAAAUAUAAGAAAAGUGCCUUGAAUGUGAAGUAAAUUUUUUAUAAAAUUUUAAAUUUUUAGGGUUGAAAUUGUAGUAUUCAUUUGUAAAUAAAUUUUAUAUUAUUAUUAUUAUUAUUAUUAUUAUUAUUAUUAUUAUUAUUAUUUUGGAAAACAUUAAGGUGAUAUUUUUUAGUAAAAAUAUGAGUUUGGAAUCCAUAUCUAGAUGUUGGAGAAAAUUCAAAUAAUUAUUUUUGAAAAACAAUUAUCUUAAUUUUUCUAAAAAUAUAUAUGUGAAUUUCUCUAAAAAAAGUUCUUUUUUAAUUCUACCGAGAUGUUGGAAAAUUAGAAAACGUAUGUAUAAAUAAAAAUAAAAUAAACACUUUUACAAGAAAGAUAUCAUUGCCAUUUUAAAUAAAAUCCAUUUGAAAAAAAUACAUUUACAUGCACUAUUUACUUUAUGUUGAUAUUAUCAUGUAUGCAUUUCAUGCAUUAAUAGUAAAUAGUAAGGUAUCAAUUUUAAAAUUUUUAAGAAAACAAAGUAAUAUUUAAAAAAAAAAAUUAUUUUAGAGACCUUAUCUAGAUAUUAAAGGGAAUUCAAAUAAUAUUUUGAAGGAUUAAUUUUCUCAAAAUUUCACCUAGAUAUUGAGAAAUUAAAGAAAGUUUUCCUACAAAAAAAAUAAUAAAUAGAAUUUCUUUUAUUAAUGAUAAAAAAUAAGAUUAUAUGAAUAUAAGAUAGGUUAAGUUGGCUAAUAGUUUGUAUUUGUAUCCAUUAUUUAUCUCAUGUUGCUUUACGCCCUAAAAUAAAAAAUAUGAAUUUGUAAAUGAUAAUUUUGAAAAUUAGUUUUUUUUUUUUUUUUUUAUAAAUAAUGGUUAAUAGUCCUAUGUAAAAAUAAUCGUUGAGACCUUUCCUAAGUAUUGGAGAGCUUUUCAAUAAUUAUUUUUUAUGAAGAAAUAUUACAUCAAAUUUUAAAGAAUAUCAUGCGAAUUCUAAGUGAAGAAAAAACUUUCCAAAAUUUCACCUAAAUAUUGGGGAAUUAGAAAAUAUUAUGAAAUUAAGGAUUCCCAUUUUAUCCUUAAAUAAAAUGAAUUAAAUUUAAAUAUAUAUUAGAUGAAUUUGAUUGAUUACCUGUAUUUAAUUUACAUUUGCAUUAUACAUAUGCUCCUUAUAAUAUUUGCUUGCAUUUCAUUGCUUUUUUUUUUUUUUUAAAAAAAAAAGCUAAUAAAUGGUGAUUUUUAGAUAAUUGUUUUAAAUAAUUAAAAAAAACUAAUAUUCAUAAGUAAAAAUAAUUUUUGAAAGCCUACCUAAAUAUCGGAGGGCUUCUCAAUAAUUAUUCUUUAUAUAGGUGUAUUAUGUGAGAUUUUUUAGGAAUAAUAUAAAAGUCCCUAGUCAAGAAAUAUUAUUCGAAGUUCUACCUAGAUAUUGGAGAAUUAAAUAAUCUUUAGAUACUAAAGAAUUUUUAAGUUAUUCCUAAAUAAAAUGUUUAAAAAAAGAUUUUUCAAAAAAAUUAAAUUAGAAGAAAUCAUUUUUAAAUAUUAGAACUAAGACCAUUUUUAUCAAUAGUAAGGAUAAUGUUUGAUCAAUUUGUACCAUUUUUAAAAUGGGCGUAGUGGAUGGUGCUAAUCCUUCCCCAUAUGUAACCAAACCUAACACUAUUUUCAUAAAUCAAAAUUAUCUUUUUGAUAAACUUUAAACUCAUUUUAUUGUUUUAUUAAAAAAAUAAAUUUUUUAAGUGGCUAAUCACAUCUAAACAAAAAAGAUUGGUGGCGACUCCCUUUUGUUUUGAAACUUUUAAAAUUUUUGUCUAGUGAUCCCUAAAACCGUUAUGAUAGCUUGGUAACUCUAUUAGGGAUGUAAUUUUUUAGAGAAAGUCAGGCCAAAAAUUGAUCAUAUGUUAUCUUGAGUUUCAAUUUAAUGGUCUUAAUUAAUAUUUAAAUUUGAUUUCUUUGAUUUUAUUAAAAACAAAAGUCUUGCAUUGCAUCUAUCUUUUGAUUAUGUCAUUUAUUCUAUUUUUAAAAUUUUUUUAAUACUAUUCUUAAUAAAUUGUAGGGCAUUUAGGAUAGAGGUAGCUUUGGUAAAAAAGUGUCAAAAGUUUGUUUGUUCCUUUGCACAUUCGAUCACACGUAUUGCAUGCAUAAACUCUAUACCCGAGCUCUUACCCUUUUAUGAGGGAAUGAAGUAUCUAUACUUUCAUGAGGAGAAUACCUACUUGAUGGCUAGCAAAAUACUCUCACUCAUAUUGAACCAUUUUCAUUUGUAUCCUAUAAUGGCUAAGGAUCAGGGUGCCUUACUAGUCUAUAAUGAACAAUGUAUGAGAAAUAAUUUAGGAACCUUUAGAUGUAUAAAUCUUAACUAGCAUAUAGUAAACCUUAAGGGUCUAGCCUAGGAUAGAGCCAUACCAAACCUUUCCUCAAAGAAUGUACCUGAAGAUAGGACACAUGAAGGAAUAUUCUUUACCUUUCACUUGUUUUUAAUAAAUGAACCAUAGAACAUGUGACACUUAACAGUGUCCUAACACCUGUAAUAGAUAUGGCACCUUGCCCUAAGGGUAUCAUAAUACCCAAUAAAAGCCCAAGUAUAUAUGAGAAAAUUUUUUUAAUAAAAGAGCAUAUGAUUUUAAAACAAUAAAAUCAGUUUCUUUUUCUAUCUUAAAAUUUUAUUUAUCACCAAUUCAUUUGUACUAACUUCUUGAUUUUUGUGUAUUUUAUUUCAUCUCUUUUUGCUUGUAUCAUUAAAGGUAUAAGAUAGUCACAUUGAGGUGUAUUCAUAUUUUAUAUAGUUUUCAAUAAAAGGAACUAUCUUUAAGACCAUGGAAUCUUAGGAUUUACAUAUAAUAUUUGUCAUUAGUAAGACAUAUUAAGAAGUUCACGAUCAAUCUAAAAAAGGGUAAUAAAAGGAUAGGGAUUGUCUAGUACAGGGAUAUGUAUAUGGUCUUUUUGAAGUGGUCUAUUUAGAUUUACGAUAAAAUGAGUUGACUGAGUUAGGCAAUAUUUGGAACUAGUGAGGGAUAGAAAGAAAAAAAUGUUAUCACCAAGAAAUAUGGAGAUAUUGCUUUGCUUAUUUGGUGAAGGCAAAUGAAAAGUUGAUCAAAGCUAUAAUACGUUUUCAGAACCCAUAGUACCACUGCUUCACUUUUAACAAAAAAGAUAUGACACCCACUAAUAAGGAAUACUCUACUUUGCUCCUUAUAAAGUUUUUCAGGCCAGAUAAGAUAUAUUGAAAGGAACAAAAGAAGUUAGGGUAUCAAAAGAAAUUGGCUAAGAUAAUAGGUUUGGAUGUCAAAGUGAUUGAUAAGAAGAAAGAAACCAGUGAUGCUAUCCUAUAAACCUUAUUAUGUGAUUUUAUACUUGAGAACCCUAGUGAGAAUUAGGUUAUCGUUAUUUUAGCCCUAGCAAUUUAUGGUUGGUUGAUCUUUUCAAAGGUAUUAGGACAUGUCAAGGCAUUGGUGGUGGAUUUUUCCAUAAAAUUAAAGAAGCAUAACAACCCUUCACUGUUAUCUUAGUGGAGACUAUUAAAUCAUUGAACUGUUGUCACAAAAAAGGGAAGGCAUUUUUUAGGAUAUGUGCAAUUAUUGUACAUUUGGUUUCAAAGCCACUUCUAUGGUGAAAAUAAGGUUCCCUUUAACCAUACAAGAAAUCUUUAGUUCUUAUUACUAAAUUUUUCAAGAAGGAAUAGCCGAGAAACCUUAGUAGGAAGUAAUAAAUUGCCUUCUUUUGGAAUUUAAAAAGGGAAAACGUGACAUGAAGAGCCCUUUGAAUGCCUCAUACAUCUAUACUAUAUGGUUGUGGUGAUAAAUUGUGGGUUCCACUCUUAAGAAUUUGGGGAGUUAUAAGUUAUGUGCUGUAUAUGGUCAGAAGACAAUAUAGGUCGAAAUAGUUUGUUCUGGUGACUCAUGGUUUAAACCAAUUAGAGUUUAACUAUGGAAAAGCUAACUACAUAGGUAGAAUACAUGAUAUCACCAAAGCAUGGGGGCAAAGCUACUUGUCAAAAUUACGAAGGUGUACUAAUGAUGUAACCUUAGGAUAUUUGGUAUAGAAAGCAAAAUGGGUAAAUGAUAUAAUACUUCCUCCAGAUGAUGGUUUUGAUCAAAUGGUUGACCCAUGGGUAAAGAUGCUACCUUCGAGAUUGAACUCAUGAGAUUGGACUUUGAGGUAGAAAAGGAAAUGAUAAGGAAAGAUAAUUUUAAAAUCUAAGAGGAAUUGGGAUAGCUGAAAUCUGAGGCCCUCAUGUAAGAAAGCCAAUUAGAAAAAGAUUACGAAAGAUCAAGAUGUGAUCCAUGGUGACCAUAAGGAACUGUAUGAAGAAAAUAAGAGGCUAAAGGGUUAGUUGAAAGAUAAAAAGAUUAGACCUAACAGUAGGCCAUUGAAGGUACAAAUCAGCUUCAUGAAAGGAUAUAGUGUUAAAGGUGUAAAGCCAUGAAAAAUGAGAAAAAAACCACUCAACUUUCAUAAGAAGAGCAAAAUUAGGAAAAUCUAUUUUCAACCAACAUAGCAAGGCUGUUAGAAAGUUAAAAAGAGAAUGAAAGGUUGAAGGCAAAGUUAAAAAAAAAAUAUUUAAAGAUGCAAGAAGAAAAAGAUACAUUUCAUCAAAUAGUCAAUGGGCUAGAAUAGUAGCUGUAAAAUUAUAAGAAUCACAUUGCUACACUACAAAAUGAGUGGCAAGAGAAAAAAGUAGAUUGGAAGUAUACUUGUAAUCUGAAUAUGGAUGCCCACAUUAAGUGGAAGGAAAAAAAUUUGAUGAGGCAAAUGUAUAUAGAUCACUUGACUUCGUAGAUCUAUAAAGUAGGAAAGAAGGCAACAGAAAUGGUGAAGAAAGCCAAAGCCCCACAACAAGAAACCACCCCAACCAAUAAUAUGGGCAACGUCUAAUCAAUUUUUUGAAUGAGGCCAAAGAGCAAUAUGAACAAGUUAAAUGGUUUUAUGGUUUUAAGCUAAAAAGCAAUAUGUAAUCUUGAGUAUUUUGGAAUCAAUGAAAGAUUCUUUUAUUUGAAAUGUCUCAAAAAAUGGAUACCCUCAAUACAUACAUUCACGAUAUGCACUUUUUUAAGCUAGUUUAAGAAAAGAAAGGAUGGCUAUAAAUAUACUUUCAUCAAAUCUUUAAGGCAAAAAGAGAUUUCUUAAAAAUCUUGCCUAGAUAUUGAAGGGUUUUAAAGAAGCCCCUUUUUAUGGCAAGCAAUAAUAAUCCAAUAUUGCAUACAUAACCAUGUUUUAGUACAUUUGUAACAUGCAUCCAUAAUACAUAUACAAUUCAUUUUUAAGCCAACCUAAGAAAAAAAUGAUGGCUGUAAAUAUAUUUUCAUCAAAUUUUGGAGGCAAAAAAGAUAUCUUUUAAAAAUUUUUGUCUAGAUAUUAAAGGAUAUUAAGGAAUCCUUUUUAUGAAAAACAAUAUUAAUUUCAUACCAUGCAAUUCUGACCUAUAGUAAUUAAUGAAAAAGUUUCAAAGAUAGCUUGGUUGAAGAAUUUGAAUUAGUCUAUUUAUCAUGCAUACAAUAUAUAAGCACAAGCCAAGAUCAUGGAAAAUAAAUAAUCAGUCAGCAUUGAAAGGAUCAAAAAGGCUAUAAAAGAAAUUAGAGAAAGAAUGGCUGAAAUGCAAAAGAGUAUGGGUAGACAAAUGAUAGAAUUAAAGUAAUUGUUGUUAGGAAUGUUAAAAGGUGAAGAAUUGUUGAUGCAUUUGAGCCAUGAGAAGAGAUCAAUGUUGGAGAGCCUAUGUACGCACCAAGGUUCACCCUAUCACAUGUAUAAGUUUAUCGUGGCAUUUAUCAAUAGCCAACAAGAGGGCAACCUUUCACUUAUUGGGGUCCCUUCGCUAGUCAACCAUCGAUUCACGUGCAUAUCAACCCAAAGUCUAGUCUUGUUAACCUCAUUUUGGUUAUAAACUUGGAUGAUCCUAAGGAAAAAAAAGUUAAGAAGCAUGCCUGAACGCAUUGAAAAUACAAAGAUACAGAACAAGUAUGAACUACUCAAUGAAAGACUAAGGGCAGUGGAAGGAAAUGGUAUUUAUGGGAUUAUUGAUGUUAAUGAGCUUAGCCUAGUACCCAGCCUAAUAAUUCUAGCAAAAUUCAAAAUCUCUAACUUUGAAGUAUGACGGGACCAAAUGUCUUUCUACCCAUAUUAUAAUGUUUUUUCGUAAGAUGACAAGACACUCAUAAUGACAAGUUUUUGAUUCAUUACUUCCAAGAUAGCUUAAUAGGAUUAGAGACCAAAUGGUACAUACAAUUGGAUCAAAGUUAGAUCCACUCAUGGAAAGAUCUUAAAUGGGCUUUCAUUAUCUAAUAUAAACACGUGGUUGACAUGGCCUUUGAUAAGUUGUCACUCUAGAACAUAGAGAAAAAGCAUAAUAAAAUAUUUAAAUAAUACACUCACCGAUGGAAAGGUGCAGCAGUUCAGGUGCAAUUGUCACUAACAGAGAAAGAGACAACAAUGCUAUUUAUCAGUAUACUAAAAGCACCUUAUUAUAAAAAGCUAUGGGAAAUGUAACUAAGAAUUUUGCCAAUAUGGUAAUUUUGAAAAAAUGAUUGAAAAUACCAUAAAGAGUGGCAAGAUUGAAAGACAUGAUGCAUCAAUUGCUAAGAAAGUGGUAAUCCCAAAGAAAAAAAAAAAAAGACUCAUGUGGUGACUUAUGGAAACACACCACCAAGACCAUUCAUAUCGUAUCAGCUUUACACAACUUUCCCACACUACUACCCAUUCACAAACCAAGUGUCUCAAGGAUCGUACCUUUACCAACCACCUUAGUAACCACUAUAUCAGCCAAAAUUUCACCCUAAAAUGUCUAGUUACACUCCCACCCUAGUAACUUAAUCUUUCACUCCACAAACUAGCUAAGCACGUAGUAAUAUGGAAAAGACCCAUUUUGAUCCAAUCCCAAUGUCCUAUACAGACCUAUACCCACAACUGUUGAAAUCCCAUAUCAUUACCUUUAUUUACCUAUAACCUCUAAAACCAUCAUACCCCAAGAUAUGGCCCUAAAGCUUGGUACGAUUACCAUUUUAGAAAUGUGGGACAUUCCAUUAAAAACUAUAUAGCCUUGAACAAUAAAGUACAGGGUUUGAUAAAAGCCAAACUAUUAAAUUUUGAUAUUAAGAAAAAACCAAGUCUCAAUAGGAAUCCUUUUUAAACCAUACCAGAGAGAGAGUCAAUGCUAUAGGUGACGAAAAAACUAUAUAAAUCAAAAGAUGGGUGGACAAAGUAAAGACUUUCUUUGAGUGAGUAUAUGACUAUUUGGUUAAGAUAAAUAUGAUUCAACCUAUGUCUAGGAAUAUUGGUGGAAAUCACGAAGAUCUUGCUCAAAUUUGUAAGUAUCAUGAUGAAGUGGCUUCAAGUAUGUGUAGCUUUUCACCAAUUAUUACAAAGUUUGAUGGAUGCAAAUAUGAUAGACUUUUAUGCUGAAUGUGAUUAAAGUAUUAUGAAUAUGAUAGUAAGACAGCCCAUUAGCAAUUUUUUUAUUCCCAAACCUUUAAUAGUAUUCUAUGAUGAUAAGCCAAAGUUUGUAUUAGUGGAACCUAUAUUUCUCCCUAAAGUAGCAUGACAAUUUACGUCCCUAACUCAUUUCUCUAUCAAAAUGAUAAGGCAGUCUCAUAGAAGUACGAUUACGAUUUUAUGGUUUAAGGGCCCAGUGCCAAUACUAUUAUGAAAAGCUUAAAUGUGGGAAAUGCCAUAAACAUUACAUGCAUAGGAGAAAUGAUUAGAAGUGGUCAGUGCUAUACUCUAAAAAUAUUAGAGAAAGCCAGAAAGGGCAAAAGAAAGUGAAAAAAAGAGAAAAUUUAAAGGAGGGUGAAACUACUUAGCUAAUAAUAAGCCUAGAGGUGCAAAUCAAAAAGCUGGUAUCAAAAGAAAACCUAUGAGUUUUUUAAGAUCAUUAAGCAUAGUGAAUAUAAUGUCAUUGAUCAGUUGAACAAGAUGCUUACUCACAUCUCUUUGCUAUUGCUUUUGCUAAAUUUUGAGCUACAUCGUAAUGCUUUGUUGAAAAUAUUAAACUAGGCUUAUGUGGAUAUAUAUCUUAAUUGAAAAUGUCGACUAUAUGGUCAAAAAUAUAGUAGCCACAAACUUCAUAUCCUUUAAUGAUAAUGAAAUAUCAGCCAAGGGAUAAGACAUCAUGAAGGCUCUUUAUAUCGCUAUCAAGUGUAAAACCCAUUCCGUGGUAAAAGUGGUUAUAAAUAAUGGGUCAUUAAUCAAUGUCUUGCCUAUGACCAUAUUGGCAAGACUACCUUUUGAUCCAUCUCAUAUAAGAAAUAGCUAUAUGAUGGUAAGUGCUUUUGAUGGGUCCCAAAGGGAUGUGCUAAGGGACAUCAAGAUUUUAUUGUAAAUAGGCCUAUGUACCUUUAAUGUAGAAUUCCAAGUGAUAGAUAUCUCUUUAUCUUAUAGUUACCUGUUAGGUAGGCCUUGGAUUCAUAUAGCAAGCGCUAUACCAUUGUCCCUCCAUUAAAAAGUGAAAUUUUUAUUGAAGGAAAACAAGUCUGUUUGGCAGGAGAGGAAGAUUUCUUGUAACUAAGACCUUGACCUCUUUUUAUGUCAAGGCUAUGAAAGAGGCACUUAAAUGCUCAUUUAAACCUUCAAAUUUGUUAACACCACCUAUAUAGGUGAAGGAUAGAAGAUACCAAUCCUCUAUCUAUCAAAGUGUAGAUAAUUAUGCAUUAUUAUUAGAGUUAAAGUAGUAAAAUUCUUAAAAAUUUUAAUUUCCUAAAGCCAAGAUCAAUCAACAAGAUUAUACAAGCAAUAUAUAUAUACAAGCAUGUAUAGUUUCGACUAAAGGUGUUACCUUGAAUGUCAAAAAUUCCUUGGUUCAAUUUGGUGAUCUUUUAAAUAGAUUCCAAGCUAAGAAGCUGAUCAAGUAUUCAACCUCUAAUGGUGAUCCACAUGAACUAUUGUGAAAGAACCUUCUUUAAGGUUUGGUAAAACUCAAAGCCAUAUUCUAACUAGUAAAUGUUUGUAAGACCUCUUUUAUUUUCUUGAGUGAAACUUCAUUCUCUUAGUUUUUCUUGUUUUUCUCUAGAUGCUUCCUUACAAAAAGGGGAAACUUGAUGUUUCUUUUAUAAGGGAAGCAUUAACCACAUUAGGUUUAAUACUUGGAAUGCAAAUUUUCACAAUUAACCUUAUGCUAGCCAAAUAUACCAAAUAAGAAAAACUCUUUCUCUUGUUCUUAUUUCUUAUAUUUUUUGGUCAUACCAAAAUCCAAUUAAGUCCAACUUAAUUUAUCUCAAUUUUAAUCUUUCACAUUUGUCCUAUUGUGUGUGACCUAUUAGGUUCUUUGGUAUGUUGGCAAUAAACAUAAGCAUUGUACGCCUUAAUAUUUGGCUAUGGAUAAAACAAAUUUUUUAUUUUCAUCACUAAUUCUCUAAUUAGUCAAUCUUAUAUUUAUAGAUCAUGAUUAAUUGCUAUCUUCAUUGCCAUGACCCCCUAUUGCUAAAGAAAAGUCAAUAUAGCUUUGCAACCCAUCUAUGAAUAUUCAUAGUGUAUAAUUGAUAUCCUUUCAUCACAUAGUAUCUUCGUUUGAACAUUGAGUUAUGGUUUAGUAUCUACUUAAUCGUGUUUAACCAUGUUUAUUCUUAUCCUUGAUGUUAAUUCACAAAUAAGCUUUAAAACAGUUUUAAACUCUUAUUUCACUUUGGCCAAAGAUUUCUUAAGUUAACUCAAUCAAUAUUAGAUGAGAUACUCUCUUGAUCACACAAGAUGGUGAAUCCCAUCUUGAUUACUUCAUACAUCUUCAUAUGCCUCAUGUUAUACAUAACAAUACUCAGUUGGAACAUUCUUGGUUAGAACCAUAAGUAAAAUAAAGUCAAAGUAUAACAUCCAUCAUAUAAGAUUAUAAGUAAUCUCAACUCAAAGGAUCACUUAUACAACUAUCAUAUGAGAAUGUAUCUAUAAAUGCUAUGUGAACUAUCAUAUAGCAUUGUUAUAUUGGAUCAUGUUCAAUAAACUUAUUUUUGUAACAAGCACCCAUAUGUUAGCUCAAGUUUAUCCAAACUUUAACCUAUGAGAUUGGUUGCUUGCUUCAUAAGUAAGAGCAUAAUCAUGUGCUAGUUUAAACAGCUUUUGUCAAUAUUUUCUAGUUGAUAAAACAUCGACUAGGAACAAUUUUGGAACUUAUAGCUUUUAUGCAACAAUGAUCUCAUAAUUACAAUCUCAUUGUAAUUUCCUUGCAAAGCUUUAUUUAUAUUUUGAUGACUUUAUCAUAUAAGCAUUAACAUUGAAAUAUAUGUACACAAGCUUAAUGAUAAAGAAAUAAGACCUUUAUAAAAUAUUAAAUAUCAAAGUACUACAAAUAUGAUAAUAUCUUAGCCAAAAUAUGAUUCAACUUGAAGGACAAAUACCAACACAAAUACCAUAGGGAUGGUAAUCAAGCAAAUGAUUGGAAAAAGGGUGGCAAACUAAAAUGGGCUUGGGUAGGACUUUUCAAAGAAUGAAAAAAUUGCCAAAUGUUAUUGAAUAUAAAGAAAGGUUUGGUUUGGGUUAUAAGCCAAUAGUAACAAAUAGGAGAAGAAUGAUAUUAGAGAAAAGAGAAAGGAAAAUGGCGCACCUUAAGGGGCAAGAAUCAGAUGGGAGCAUAAUGGUGUUUCUUUACUUAUACAACAUAUUUCGCUCAGGCGGAUAUGUCCACCUUGGGUCAUUAGAGGUGGAAAAGGAAACUCAAACAAGAAAUUUAGAGGUGGCCUUCUUUAAUAUGUGUAUGGGUCCCUUCAAGAGGCCAUGAACAUAGUCAAUUUAGGCGAUUGAAGAAAAUAAGAAAGAAGUCAGGGUCAGUACUUCACUUUUAUCCACUAAAAGGUAAAAACUAAAAGUUUUGCUUUAAGAGUAUAUGGAUGUGCUUGUGUCAUAGACCUAAAGAAGAGUCAUGAAUCCCACAUCGAACAUAAUAAGAGGGUCACUGGGGUAUAAAAGGAUUCAUACUACCUCUUCCUUGUGAGGCACCUUUUGUAGGAUAAAACCAUGAGGCCAAGGGAGCCAGAACGGAUAAUACCUCACAAAGGUGUGAACCGUGAUAGGUAGGCUGAUCUGAGACAUCGAAUGAGUGGAUGUCCAGGUCUCAGAGCUGCAUGGGUUCAAAGCUUAAGUUUCGACCCAUGACACUUACAUGGUCAUACAGGGACUUACCAUAGUUCAACACAAACAUUGUAGAACAUAAGCUGCCCUUAAAGUUAGGGUGUAAGUUAGUUGAACAAAAGUUAAGGUGCAUGAAACCCAAAAUGCUAUUGAAAAUCUAGGAUGAGGUAAAAAAAUAGUUUGACGUUGGUUUUUUAAAAGUAGCCAAAUACCUUAAAUGGGUAGCCAAUACAGUCCCAAUCCUUAAAAUGGAUGAAAAAGUGAGGAUGAGCGAGGACUAGUGAGAUUCGAAUAAAGCUAACCCUAAAGAAAAUUUUUUGUUGCCUCAUAUUGACACCCUAAUAGAUAGCAUUGCCAAACACUCUAUGUGCUCAUUCAUGGAUGGUUUUUUUUGCUAUAACUAAAUCAAAUGGCUUGAGAUGAUAUGGAGAAAACUACAUUUGUGACAAUGUGAGGCACAUUUUGCUACAAGAUUAUGCCAUUUGGGCUAAAAACUACUAGUUUUACAUACCAAAGAAUGAUGGUAACUCUUUUCAUGAUAUGAUGUAUAAAAAGAGAGAAACACACGUUGAUGAUAUGAUAACAAAGUCUCGUGAAGGAGUGGGCCAUGUUGCUAACCUUAAAAAGCUUUUUGAAAGGUUAAAAAACUAUAAACUUAGGCUAAAUCCAAUUAAGUGUACAUCUGGGGUAAAUUGGAAAAGUUAUUAGGAUUUAUAAUCAACGAAAAAAGAAUCAAAGUCAACAUGGACAAGAUUCGUGCCCUUAAAAAUUUAUCUCCUCCAUGUAUACAGAAACAAGUUAGAGGUUUUUUAGAAAGGCUAAAUUAUUUUUCUCACUUUAUCUCUUAACUAACCUAAAAAGAUGACCCCAUUUUUAGGCUAUUAUGAAAAAGUGACCUUGGGGAAUGGAACAAAGAGUGCUAGAAUCCUUUUGAAAGAAUUAAGGAAUGCUUGUCAAGUCCACCAAUGUUGUUGUGACUUAUUAUAGGCUAACCUUUGAUUUUGUAUUUAACAAUUCAUAAGAAUUCUAUGGGAUGUGUACUGGGGCAAAUGGAUGAACUAGCAAAAAAGAGCAAGCUAUUUACUAUCUAAACAAGAAGUUCAUUAAGUAUGAAACUAAGUAUUCUUAGUUACAAAAAAUGUGAUGUGUAUUAGUGUGGACUAUACGUAGGCUCAAACAAUACAUGCUUUACCACAUAACUUAGUUCGUAUCAAAGUUAGAUCCCCUUAAGUGUAUUUUCAAAAAAUCAUCUUUAUUAGGGAGAAUAAAAAGAUGGCAAGUUAUGCUUUCUAAAUAUGAUAUUAUACAUGUAGCACAAAAAGCCAUUAAAAGGAGUACAAUAAUUAACUUUCUCGCAGAUCGCGUGGCUUACAACUAUGAGCCCAUAAAGUUUGAGUUUCUAGAUGAAGACUUAUAAGAUAAGGAUAAAGAGUCUAUAGAUGAGUCAUGAAAAAUAUUUUUUAAUAGGGCAUCCAACAUUAUGGGGCAUGGCAUUAAGGUAGUAUUAAUAUCCUCGAAUGAAAAUUAUUAUCCUUGUACUAAAAGGCUAGGUUUUAGUUUCACCAAUAAUGUGGCAGAGUACAAAGUUUGUUUCAUGGGCCAACAAAUAGCCAUUGAAAAGAAAAUUAAAAUACUAAAGGUGUAUGGAAAUUUGGAUUUAGUGAUCUACUAACUACGAGGUGAAUGGGAGGCGAGAGAUCAAAAACUAGUCAUAUACCAAAAUGAUAAAGUUGAUUUCAUUAAGCAAUUUAAGGAUGUCCAAUUUUAGCUUAUCCCUAGAGAGAAAAAUCAAAUUGCUAACACCCUGGCAAUGUUGGUUGCAAUGUUCAAGUUGAACGCAAGUAUGGGAGUGUAACCCAUUAGAAAGCAUAUACGAGAAUCAUUGGCACACUAUUUGAGUAUUAAGGAAGAAAUUGAUGGAUAACCUUGGUAUUAUGGUAUUGCACAAUACAUUAAAACUAGAAAUACCCAGAGCAUGCGUUCGAAAAUGACAAAAGAAUAAUCAGGAGAUUGGUGAUGGGAUUCAUUCUUGUUGGAAAAGUUUUGUAUAAAAAAGGUUGGGAUUAGAUUCUCUUGAGAUGUGUAGAUGUUACUGAAGCUAGAAAAAUUCUUGAAGAAGUGCAUGAAAGAAUUUAUGGAACACAAGUAAAUGGGCACAUGUUGGGCAAACAAGUCAAGAGGGUAGGUUAUUAUUGGUCAAUACUAAAAAGCAAUUAUCUUAAUUAUGCUAGAAAAUGCUACAAAUGCUAGAUUUGUGUAGACAAAAUUUAUUUUCCCCCAAUUUUGUUACACAUCCUAACACCUUUUUGGCCAUUUUCAAUGUAAUGAAUGGAUGUGAUUAGACCAAUUACCCCAAAGGCUUCGAAUAGGCAUAACUUCAUCUUUAUAACAAUUGACUAUUUUACGAAGUGGGUUGAAGCGACUUCUUAUGCCAAUGUUAUAAAGGUAGUCAAUUCAUCAAAAAAGAAAUAAUUUAUGGAUACAACUCCUAGAAAAUAUUAUAUUCGAUAAUGCAAGCAAUUUGAACAACAAAAUGAUGAAAAAGCUAUGUACUCAGUUUAAGAUAGGGCACCAUAAUUUAAUGCCAUUUGCCCCCAAAAUGAAUGGUGCAAUAAAAGUAGCUAACAAAAAUAUCAAUAAGAUAUUGGAGAAGACAAUUGACACUUAUAAAGAUUGGCAUGAGAAACUACUCUUUGCCCUGUAUGCUUAUACAACAUCAGCUCGCACCUUUACUUGAGCUACCCCAUUUUUUGCUGGCAUAAGGGUUCAAGGCUAUGUUAUCUAUUGAGGUGAAAAUUCUUUUACUAAAAGUUUCAAUAAAAGCAAAACUAGAAGAAGCAAAGUGGUUUCACAAUUACUUUGAACAGUUAAACCUCAUUGAAGAGAAAAGGCAUACAGCACUCUACCAUGGCUAGAUGUACUAAAGGAGGAUAAUGCAUGCACAUCACAAAAAGAUACAACCUAGACAUUUGCAUAAGGGUGAGUUGGUUCCAAAAAAGAUCUUGCUAAACCAAUAUGAUAGUAGAGGAAAAUGGACACCUAAUUAAAAGGGUCCAUAUGUGGUGAAAAAAAAAAUUCUUGGGUGGAGCUCUAAUUUUAGUAGAAAUGGAUGGAGAUAAAUUGCUGAAUACUAUAAAUUCAGAUGCUUUGAAAAAAUAUUAUACUUGAAACUUUAAAAAAAAGUGAAAAGGGGAAAAAAGUAAAGCAAAAAAGGUAAAAAAAAUAAAAAAUAAAAGAAAUAAACUUUAUAUUGAAAACCUGAAAAGGGCAGCUCGAGCAAAAAAAAAGACAUCCGAGCUAAAAACUUAAAAAGGCAACCUGAGUGCAAGAAGAAAAUAAAAAAGGUGUAGUAGAAUUGAAAACCCAAAAGGAUGAUGUAGAUGUAAGAAGGAUUAGCAUCGAAAAUGGCUUUAACUAAAUGGCAGGUCUAUGUCAGUCUCAAAUUAUGAGUGCAAAGAUUAGUCCAAUAAACUCAGAAAGAUCACUGUCAUUGAUAGGAUAAGUUUUUUAGAGAGGAUUGGGAUAGAUUUGAUUUGAAUUGUUUGAAUGUUCAUCAUUUAGAGAAUUGAUAAUUGAUUCCAUAAUUUUUAUCUUUUAAUUACAUUCCUUCUUUGUAUACCUUUUUUCUAUGCUUUUUAAAGAAAUUUUUUAUUUACUCUUGUCCUAGCAAUAAUGGAUACCUUUUUUUUCUCUUUGAUCGAACUUUUCAUACUCAUCUUUUGUCAUAAAUUCAUUGCAUUUGUUAUGAAUUAGGAUAAUGAUUAGUAAUGUUUAUAAACCCUUACGAUACUUUGAAAAGAUUUGAGGAUAACAAAAAUGAAAGAGAGAUAAAUGAAAAGAUGAAAAAGGAAAAAGAAUGAAGAAAGAACAUAGAAAGAAAUGAAAAGGAAAACCAAUGGAAAUGUCAACAUCCAAGGAUAUUGAGCAAACAUAGAACAUCUCUUAAGUAAAUGGAUGUAUGUAGGAAUCAAUGAUUUAUAAGUUAAUUGUGAAAUUAACCAAAAUUGGAAAAAGUGAAAUGAGAGAAAGGAAAUGAAAUGAAAAAUGGGUUUUUGAAGAGAGAUUUUAAAUGAAUGGGAACAAUUAGUGUCAUGUCCAAAAUUUGAAAGAUAGAGUUAAUGAUGAGAACCUUGUUGCUAUAAGUUUGAAUGAAUGGUAUGAAUUAAAAGGUCACAUGACAUACAUGGUGUUUUUUGCUUUUAUCGCAUCCAUUGUAUGUAUACUGUAGUAACAUAUGAAAUAGAAGGUCAAACUUUGCUAUGAGAGGCUAAGCAUACCAAGACAAGGUAGGAUGAUUUUCAAAUAGAACUUUGAUGUGAUGGAUCAAGUUACGAUUAAAAAAACCUUUGAAUUUUCAAACUUUACAUGCAAAAGACUUUUAUCUGAGAGUUUUUAAAGUUGUUAAGCUUUUUUUUAAGGAACCUUUCCUAGAGGAGAAUUUUUAAAGUUAUUGAGCCUUUGUUUAAAUGAGCUUUUCCCAUAUGAGAAUUUUUAAAAUUGUUGAACCAUUGCUUAAAGUAGUUUUUCAAGAUGAGAAUUUUUAAAGUUAUCGAGCUUUUGUUUAGAGGAGCUUUUCUCAAUAUGAGAAGUUUUUAAAGUUGUUAAGCCUUUGUUUAAAAGAUCUUUUCAACAUGAGAAAUUUUUAAUGUUGUCGAACAUUUGUUUAAAGGAGCUUUUUCAAUAUGAAAAGUUUUGCUUUAAGAAGCCAUUUUUUAGGAAAAAGUAUUUCAAGUUAUGGAGCCUUUAACGAGAGGAGUUUUUAGAUUUACUUUCAAAAGUUUUAGAGCCUUUAAUAAAAUGAGUUUUUCAAAAAUUCAAAAAAUUAAGGAAACUAAAAACAAAAAUUAAAAAAAAAUUCCAAAAAAAACAAAGGUAAAAAAAAUCACAAAAAAAUUUUUUUAAAAAAAUCCUCAAAUGAUCAACUUUGGACAAAAUCAGUGUCUAUGUCUUUACCCUAUUCUUGAUUCUCAAUAAUGUGCAAAGAGGGACAGUUGUAGGCACCUAAUUUGUCUGAGACGAUUCAAUUUUGAUCCAUUUUUGUGUUUAAUUUGGAUAUCUAAAUUUAGGCCCAUUUGAAUAUUUAUUGAACUUAGGCCCAAAAAGAUUUUGUUUUAGAUCAAUUCCUUAGGGUCACUUUUGAAUGGGCCAUUUUAUAUGAAUCAAAGUCAAUGAUGGAACCCAAUGCCGAAUUAUAGAAUCCAAGGGCCAAAAAACCCAAAGUUUAAUGUUGAAAUCCAAACCCAUGCUUUAAAGCCUAAUUGCCUUUUAUUAAGAUGAAUUAUUUUAAUUAAUUAAGAUAAAUAAAAACAAUAAACAAAAAUUUCAAGAAAAAAAAACCAGAGGGGUUGGUUGCCUUGGUAAUAGCCCCUUUUCACUUUCUCGUCUCCCUAAAUUUUACUUUUUCUUUUUUUCUAUCUACCAACCCCACUUUUAGCUAAUUUGUUUUACCCCCCCCCCAAUUUUCACCUAUAACACCAUUACAAGAAUGCUUAUAAGCUCAUGAACAAAAAAUACAGAACCUCUUAUACAAUACUCGUCCAAAAAUCACAAUCACUUUUCUAGCCUAAACUAAAUGCUCACAAACAUGAAAAAGGCUAUGAUUUGGGUUUUGUGAAUAAAAACCCUAGGAAAUUCAUAACAGAAGGUGGGCUAAUUUACAAGAGUGGUUGACAAAAAAGAAAAACAUAGAGCAAAAAAAAAAUUCUAAGCCUACUAGUUCUAACACUUAGCCAUAAAUCCAAUCUUUUCACCUAAUAGCCAUCAUUAGACCCCUCCAAAGUACCUAAAAAAUCAUCUAAUAUCUUUCCAAAAAUCACACAAAAAAUAGCAAGCAAAAUAUACCAUAGUUUUCACUUAAUAUUGAACCUAAUAGCAAAAAAAUUUCAAAAACAAAAAAAUUUUCAGUGAUUCAUUGGGCUAUUCGGCUAAAAAAAAAGUAAAAAAGAAAGAUAAGGGAAAAAAAGGAAGAAAAAAAAGGAAAAGAGUCUCAAUUAAAAACAAAGAAAAUAAAAGAUCAACAACUAGGAAGAAAAAAGAGAAGAUGAUAAUGAAAAAAAAGAGAGAAAGGAAAAUAGGAGAAAAAAAGGGAAGCUAGCGACAGCAAAAAAAAAAAUGAAGGCUUGGCAAUUAAGUAGGCCUUUUGGCCCAGUAAGACUUUGAUGGAGAAGCUUUUAGGCUUUUUUAAUUAAUUAGGCUAAGGUCCCUUCUUCAUUUUUACAAGUUACAACAACUCCCCAUUGAGUGCCACCAAUAAGAGAAGAGUGAAGAGAAAAACCUAGCCACUUCAGGGAUUGUUUUGCUUUCACGAAUUCAUUAUGACCACCCAAACAGGUAUAUCAAAUCUCUAAAUUUAUUUUAUGGUGUUCUAAUUUUCACAUAAUGAUUUUGGGUUAGUGAUUACAUCUAUCAUUUUUUAAGGUUAUUUUAAGCUCGACUAAGGAUCCUAAAAAGAAUAGGUUCUAGUUUAUAUCAACAAAAUUAGGUUCGGAAGUCAAUUACGUGUAAGUUUUAACUCUCCCACAAUGCUUAAAAUCAGUACCAAGUUAAUUACAUGUUAUCUUGUAUAAGCCUUAUGCAAAGAUAAUUUUUUAUUAGUUUCGAUAUUUAAAUAUUGAAAAAAAUAUUUAAGUUUUCACUAGAAAAUUUUUUUUUUCACCUCAAGAAUAUUUAAAAUAAACUCAUUGUUUACUUGAAGAGGCUCUGUCAUCGAAUUUGUUAACUAUCUUAUCACAAAUCAAUCUUUUAUUUAUUUACAAAAUAGUGUUAUACAAAAAGUUAUUGUCAAAAUAUCAUGCAAAUAAAUCAUGCAAAUAUCAUAAUAAAAAUUAUGUCAAAAUAUAUAAAUCGCACGAAGAAUUAAACAAGGAUAUCAUGUAAUAAAUAUCAUAAAAAAACAUGAUGCAAUAAUAUUAAAAAAACCAUAUUCAUGCAAAUAAAAUAUUAGAUAAUACAAAUUCAUGCAAAAUAUUAGGCAAAUAUAUAUUCAUGGAAAAAUAUCAUAAUAAAAGCAUGCAAUUAAAUAUUAUAAAAAUUAUAAAAAAAAAUUAAAACAUGCAAACAAAAUUGGAAAAACCUUACCAAAGUUUUUCCUUUUUUUUUCAUCAUUUUAACUCAAUCACAAUUAAAAAUAAUAAAUAAGAAAAAAAAAGAAAAAACCAAAAAAAUAAAAGAAAAAGAAAAAAAAAAGAAACCUGUAAUUCAUGUUAGGUUGAUUACAGUUAACGUGUGGAUCUCCUUAUGUUGAAACCUAGAUCCUAGAUCUUUAAAAUAGUAUCAUUUAGUUUAUAUUUAAAAGUAAAAAAAAAAACAACUUUUUUCAGAACCCCUUUUCCUUCUCUCUUUAGCCCAGAAUCCUCUAACUUUUCUCUAAAACUCCAAUUGUGAUACUCAAUCAGUUGGCUAAAAAUCCCAAAAUCAAGUAAUUUUCCUAGAAUCUGAUCACCAAAAAAAUCAAACACACUUGAAAAUUCAAAGAACCCGAAAACCGACCACCAAUAAACCCAUUGACCAUUAUGAAAUUCAACCAAAAAAUUCAAUUUUCACUAAAAAAUUCAAGUAAACCCAGAAAAUUCUAGAAAUUUAAACAAAAAAACCAAAAAAUUCAACCAAAAAUCAAGAAAAGUCCUAAAAAUUCCAAAGUCCCAAAACAAAAAAACCAGAAUUUCCCAAAAUCAAACCAAAAGACCUAAAAGCUCAAAGAUUAGAAUCGAUCCCAAAAUCACCAAACAAUCUUAAUAACUUAGAAUUCAUAACCAAAACCCAAAAAAUCUUAAGCCUAAGCUUAUGUGAUUGCUUGUUAAUUGUUUGUAAUUACUUAUUGUUAGUGAUUGCAAAUUUAGGUUCUUUUUAUAAGUAUGAAAUCCCACUUCAAAUAGAAAAAUCCUAAAUUCUACCGAUUCCAAGAUUUUAUUUUUUUGUGAUCUUCUUUUUUUCCAUGAAUUAAGGAUUAACUAUUUUCAUAAACAAUGAAUUAUUAGAUUUUUAAAUAUAAUAGGAUCCAAAACUAAAUCAACAAGUUUUCCUUUUGUAAAUAAAAUCUCCACAUUUUUUAUGUUUUUCUAACUUUUUUGUCAAAUGGCAAAAAACCUAUAAAAACUAAAACUAGAAUAAAAAUCAAAAGGUUAAAAUAAAAUAGAAAAUAAUAAAAAAUAAAUAUUGAUUGAACUCAAAAAACACAAUUUUGGGCUUUUUGAUCUUAUGCUUAAAGUUCAGUUUCACAAUUAAGACCCAAUUACAAUUUUGCACCCAAUUUUAAGAAUUCAAAACCCAUUUUAAUGCCAGAAAAAUUUUUGAACAAAAUAGGGUGUCUGCAGUACUUCUUUUUGUACAUUUUCCAUGAAAUAGGAAUUGUACAAAGACAAAAUAUAUCCAUUUUGUUCAAGUUAAGAAAAAUAAAAAAAGCUCCCCUUUAACAAAGGUUUUGAAACUUUAGAAAAUUUAAAAUGCUCUUUUCACUAAAGGCUUCAAAACUUUGAAAAUUUUAAAAUGCUUCCCUUACCAAAGGCUUCGAAAGUUUAAAAAAUUUUAAAAGCUCCCUUACUAAAGUCUUUAAAACUUUGAAAAACUUAAAAUUCUCCCUUCACUAAAGGCUUUAAAACCUCAACAAAAAUUUUGUAACUUUGAAAAUUUUAAAAUGCUCCAUUCACCAAAGGCUUUGAAACUUUAAAAAUAAAAUAACUUCUGUCACCAAAGGCUACGAAACUUUAAAAAUGAAAUAGCUACCCAAAGGUUUUUAAGAUCAUGCCUGAAGGUAUUUUAGAUCAUUAACAUCUUUGAAAAAGCUCCUCUAACCCGAAGCUUUGUAACUUUUUUAAAAAAUCAACAUAAUUCUUUCCAUGUAUCAACAUAGUUGGGCUUAAAUCUCACCAUGUGCCAACUAAUUUUAUUAUGUCAAACAUCUUCAACAUCUUUUCAAUCAAGAAUUAUCGAGUCCAAUAUUUUCAUGAAAACUCUUAAAAUUUUAGUUUCAAAUUCAAAAGUUAGAAUUAAAUUCAAUGAAUGCCAUGUAGUGAAAAGAUUUUCCAAAACUCCAAAUUCAAUCUCAAAAUUCAGACUUUAGCUUUUCCUCUUUUUCAAACAUGCAUAAUGAAUGCAAUGAAUGAAUAUAAUGAAUGCAAUGUUCUCAAAAUGAAUGAAUGCAAUGCAUGAAAUGCAAAAAUCAAGGUCAUGUAUCUCUAAUUAUGGUAAAUGGUUGUCAAGACUUUUUUCAUUUCUUCUUUCAUUUUCAUCUUCCCAUUAUGUUCUUCUUUAGGUUUUUAGAAUUGGCCAGCAAAUGUAUCAACUAAUUUGUGACCCAAAAUUUUCUUUCACUAGUUUCAUAAUUUGAUCAUAGCAUUUGGAAUGUUUCUUCUUUCAUGCCACAAGGAUUAACAUCUUUUUGAACUUCUUUCAUCUUUCUAAUUUCAUUUUCAUUAUAUUCCAAUCAUUUUCAACUAUCAUUUCAAAAUAAUGCAAGGAUCUUUUAUAUCAGUUAUUUAUUCAAUCGUUACCAUUCCAAUUUGAUAUCAAAUGUAAUCCAUCACAUCAAAUGUAAUCCAUCACAUUUUCUUAAUUCAUCAUGGGAAAUAAAUGGUGAAGAACAAGAAAAAUCAAAGAAAAGAUAUUCAUUAUAAGAACAAAUGGGAAAGAAAAUAUUUCAAAGUAAAUUACCAAAAUAAGGGCUUGGAAGGUUUCACAACAUGAACAUCUUCAAACAAUUCCAAACAAAUUAAUUUUGAAUUAUUUUUUCAAAGAAUCAUUCCAUUGAUAUUCUUGAUCUUUAAGCUCAUCAAUCCAAGCGUCAUCCAUACCCUAUGGGAUCCUUAAAUCUUGAAAGUUAAAGUUGUUUUUCAAGUCUUCAACUUUUUCUUUUUACUUAAAUCGUCCUUUCAGAUUUUCAAUUUAAGUUUUCCUUUUUUUUCCAUUGUUUUCCUUUUUUAAUCUUUUUCUUUUUGCACAUCUUUUUCUCAUCUUUUCCUUUUCAUUUUUUUCCCUUGAUCCAUUAAGGAUAUUUUGAUCAAAAUCACUACUAGAGGUUUAGGCAUUACCGAUAGAAUUUUAUCGACAGAAUUUUUUCAAUGCUAAUUAUCGAAGAAUUAUUGAUGGAAUUUAAAAAAAAAAAAAAAACACUUUCACUGAUGGAUUAUUGAUGGAAUAAAAUCCAUAAGUAAUCCGUCACUAAAAGUGUGGUGCUAAUUGCUACCAAUUUUACCGAUGAAAUCCGUCAUUAAAAGUUAUCGACUGUUUUACCAACGAAAAAGUCCAUUGGUAAACAAAUUUGAAAAAAAAUUUCCUUUGACAUUACUGAUGGAAAUUCCAUCUCUAAAAUCAUUGGUAAAAGUAUUUAAAUGUUUUUAGUAUUAUUGAUGCAAAUUCUAUUGGUAAAGCUAUAGCUAACGGCCAAAAAUUUCAAAUCCCUUCCCGGUUAGGCACCUUAUUUUUCCCCCAAAUUAUUUUCUAAUCCCUAAUUCCCUUUCCUCUUCCCUGUCCCACUUUCCCCCCUUCCCUUCCCUCUCUCCUUGCCACCUUGUCAUUCCCCAUCGCUGUUAGAGUGUGCUAGCCAACAUUGGUGUGCCCUAUUCCUCCAGUAAGUUUUUUUUAAUUAUUUUAUUUUAUGUUGUAUUUAAUGUAGUAUAUUUGUUGAGUUUAAGGUUUAGUUUUUUGUUAUAAAUUUGUUGAAAUUUGUUUGGGUUAUGGUUACCAAUAUGUUAAGUUUUUGCUAGUUAUUUAUUUGUGAAAAUUUAUUUGGGUUUUGGUUACCAAUUUGUUAAGUUUUUGUUAGUUUUAUAUUUGUUGAAAUUUGUUGUUAUUUGUUGGUUAUAUAUUUUUAUUGGAUUUUUUGUUGAGUAUCAAUGUUGAGCAUUGUUAAUUUUUGUUCGGAUUUACUUUUAGUAUUAUUGGUGAAUUUUUUUUAUUUGUUGAAUUAUUUAUUUUUUAUUUGUGAAAGUUUUGUUGAGAUUUGUUGGGUUUUGUUAUAGAUUUAUUAACUUUCAAAUGUGUAAGAUUUAGGAUUGGUUAAUUUGGGUUUGAUGUGUAUUAAGAUUUUUAUAUAUUUGUAUGGAUGUUUUAUAUUUAAUAUUUUCUAGAUUUUAAUAAUAAUUAUAGAAAUUAAAAUUAUUUAUGUUGAUUUGAGGUUAUAAUUAAUAUAUUACUAAUAGCUAUCUCAUUUUAAAGUAAUUUAUAUAUUAUUAAAAUUUAUAUUUGUUUUAAAAUAAUUUAUAUAUUUGAUAGUUUAGUGAAAUUUAUAUAUUACUAAUUAUUGAAAAAUUAUGAUUUUAUUGUGUUGAUCAAACUUAACAUAAAUAAGUUAAAUUGUUCUAUUUUAUUCUUCUUUCCGUAAUCUAUCCAUGAAUGUGUGUUACGAAAAUGUGUUUAGGUGGAUGUAUAUUUUGUAAUGAAUAUGAUUUUUCAUUCAUUUUCAUCAUACUAACUUGCUUUAUUUUUCAUUUCAACUCUCGUACGUAGAAGUGCCUUGAUCAGAUAAAUUUUCCACAAAAUUGAUAGAAUUACAGAUAGAAGGCCAAGAUCAAAAGUAAAAUUCUAUCAAUUAAACCAAUAAUAUUUUUUUAUGAAUGUGCUAUUGUUUAGUAUGUUUGAUGAAUUUUUACAAGAACUUUUAUGCCAUUUUAGACUAUUUGUUAAAAUAGACUAAUAAUUACCUCAUAUUAUCAUUUUAUAAUUAUUUUUAGUAUAGCAAUAAUACAAUGUUUAUUCGAUGUUCACAAUAUAUCUCAAGUAAAUAUAAUACUUUAUUACUUGUUUUAUCUAAAAUUAAAUAUAUUUUUCUAAUUUCAUUUAAUCUUGUAUUACUAAAGUAAUGUUAUAUAUAUUUGUUUUUUCUUGGGGUAUUGGAAUACUAAUGAAAUGUUUUUGUUCUAUAUGGAUCAGAUAACGGGACGUCAUGCAAAGAGUACUAUCUACCAAGGUGGUUUUAGGGCAAGAUCUCGUAAAGGUGAUUUAUGUAUCGAGUCAUCAUAAAAAAUGAUAUAGCAUAAUCUACCAUACGAGUCAGCAUCACCAUGUAGGUCAACUUCGCUUCGGAUAUAGUUUAAUUAACCAUAUUGUUCACCUCUAGAUGAUAGGUGAUCCAUCAAUGGGGUAGUACAUAAAUCUAAGAUUAGCCAAUGAUCCACCAAUUAAAGAAGAAGAAGGGAGGACAACAAGGUAAAGGGCUAGGGGGCAAAUAAAGGGUUAUCAACUCCUUCAAAUCUAGAGAAGUGGGUAUAGAUUACUCCGUAUGGAGACAAGUAUUAAUUGUUUUCUUAUUGUUAUUUGUUUGUUAACAAAUUUGUUUAGUUAAACUAAUCUUACUAACAAAUAGAUGUUGGUAGUUGUUUUAAGCAAUUGUUGGUUAGCUAAAAAAUUUAAAGAAUAAUUCAAGCGAAUUAUACUAAUCAUUGGCCAACAUGAGCUAAAGUACCUGCAUUAGUUAAGUCUAUCAUAUUUGAUAAAUUUAAGGUAGUAAAUGGAUAUUUAUUUUUUAUAUAUAUUUUUUAUUUGAAUUGAAAGUUCAAAUUAUUGUCAAUGACUUAUUGUAUUCCUAUUUAUUAUGUUAGGAAAAAUAUCAAUGGGCUGAAUCAGAUGACGAUCUUGGUCAACAAGUUUGGAACAAUAUUUCAAAAAAUUGAUUGAAAAAUUUAUUGUCCGACAAGAGAGAUUUGGUAAUGAAAGAACGUGGAGUUAAUAACAUUAUAGAGUGAAGAGGUAUGGAGUGGAGGUGGAUCACAACUCCGAUUUGGGAUGCUUUUGUUGACAAUGUAUGGAGCACUUCCUAAUGGCUAAACAUCUCUGCCAAAGCCAAACAAAAUUGUCAAACACAAAAAAAAAGUAUUACGAAGCACAUUGGAGGCUAAACUGCUUUUCCUAAUCAUAAAAAAAGAAUGGUACUAUCUUAUUUCAUGAGCUAUUUUUAUCAUCAAAUGUCAAUAAAUUAUAUAAAUUGUAUUAUUACAUGUUUCAUUGAAUAUAUCUAAACAAAUAUAAUCACUUGAGUUGCAACGAGAACCCAUAUUUACAAAACUUUUUAAUUAAACUUAUAAACGAUUAGGAGGAUGCGAUGAAUUUGUUGACAACAAGUCCAGAGUUGUCAGUGUAUGUGACUUUCAAAUGAUUGAAUAAUGAUGAAAUUGUUGCCUUACUUUAUUGAAAUAGAAAAUAUCUUGUGUGUUUUGUAAUGCAAAGACUUUGUGAAACUAUGAAAACUAUUGUGUAAUUUGCUUUGCGCUUCUAGUUGCGUAUUGUGAUUGUUGCUUAACUAUUUUUAUAGUAUAUUGUAAUGAGAAGAUAUUUGCAAAAUGUGAAAACUAUUGCAUUUUUUGAAUUGUGAUGAUGGUUGUGUAUUGUGAUUGUUGAUCAAGUAUUACCUUUUUUGCAUUCUAAUGAUGGUUGUGUAUUAUGAUUAUUGAUGAACUAUAUAUGUUAAAAUAUAUUUUGAUAACUACUUAUUUGUAAAAGAUUUCUACGUAUUAUCUAGAUGAGAUCACAUUUGUGAAAGGUGAAAAUUAUUGCAUAUUUUCGUUUAUGAUUCUAUUUAUGUAUUGUGAUUGUUGAUGGAGUAUACCAUAAAGAAAUUGAAAGCAAAGACAUUGUAGGAAAUCUUGUAUUGAACUAGAUAGUUUGGUGUAUAUUGAAAUGCAAUGAAUUUGUCAAAUGUGAAAAUUACAUUUGAAAUUUGUGAAUUGUUAGAGGUUGAUAUUUUAGUGAAUUAUAUAGAUCCUAUAGUAAUGAUUAUUGCUUUAAACUUUUUGUAGGAAAAUUAUGCUGCUACAUUAUCUAAGAAAUACAGUGAAAAUUGUUCCAAUCAUCUAGAUUUUGAUCUACAAGCAUGGAUUGAAGCUAUUGGAAGGAUUGAAGCUAUUGGAAAGGUUGAAGCUACAUAAGCUCAUGUGUUUGGCUUUGGAUCGACACAUAAAUCUAGGGGCAUCCUUCAUUCAACUCAAUCUACUUCUGUAAUAGAUUAUCUAACUCUAUUUGUGUUUCAUCACCUGUGCCUUUUCAGGCUCGUCAGCCUCAAAUAGAAUAAGGAAUUGAUGAGUUAAAGACUGAACUAAGAGUUAAGCUAGCAGCUGAGCUUAGGUCAUUCAUGGAGCAAAUGAUGCAAUUAAUGGGGUGUAGAUAGACUCUACCAUCACAAUAUUCUAGACAUGAUGAUGACACCGAAGAUUUUGGAUUAUGAGGUGUAACAAUAUCACAAUGAAAUUUUUUGUUGGAUUUGUAUAAGGUAUUUGGUGGAUGGAUGCUAUGGAUGUUUUAUGAAUUGAUAGGUUAUGAUGUUUUAUAGAUGUUAUGGAUAUUUGAUGGAUGUUUGAUGGAUAUUUGAUGAUGUAUUUGAUGAAUGUUAUUUGGAUUUGAUAUUUAAUUAAUAAUACUAGCAUAUUUAAAUAAUUACACAUGUUUAAAUUGUAAUUUAUAGGGUUCAAAAAUAAUUAUAGGCUUUUUAAUAAUUAUAAAAUGUUUUUAUUUAACUUAUUAAUGAAUUUGUACUUUUACCAAUGGAAUUUACUAACGAAAAUUUACUAUUAUAGAUAGAAUUUUUAUUGUUACUAAUAGAUUUAUCGAUGAAAAAAAAUCCUUUUCUGAUCAUUUUCAUGGAUAUUACUAAUGGAUUUGCUAAUGAAAUUUUUAUUAUUAUCAAUGGAUUUUUAUUAUUAUUGAUAGAAUUUUAUUAUUACUGACAGAUUUAUUGAUGAAAAAAACCCAUUAUCCAUGAAUCUACUGACAAAAAAUUUCAUAGCAAAUUACUGAAGAAAAAUUUCAUAGUUAAAACUGUUGCUAGUAAAUUUGUCAGUAAUUACCAAUGGAUUCUAAGCAUUACUGACACAGCUAGGCAUUGAUGAAAUUUUUUUGUAGGUAAAACUACCACCAAAAGUAUUACUGAUAGAUUUAAAGCUUUUAUCGAUCGAAAAUUCUAUCAAUAAAGCUUAAUUUUCUUAUAGUGAAUCCCAAACAUCUCAUUACAAGUCUGCCUUAAUUCAAUUCAUGAUUCUCCAAUUAUGUAUUCACAUUUUAUCAAAAUAGACCUUUAAGGUACGUAACAUAAAUUAAGGUGAAAGGUUAUAAAAAAAGGGAUAAAAUAUGCCCAAAAUGUAUUUGAAAGGUUAUAAACUGAAGGAUUAUUUCUCAUCAUAGAGAGCAUCUUGGCAUUUUGCCCCAUCCAUUUUCUUUUUUUUUUUUCAUUUUUUCUAUCUUUGCUUCAUUUUUUAUUUUUGCAUUUUUCAUCAUUUUUCAAGAAAGAUUAGGGACUUUCAUUUUCUUUUAUUGUGAACAAAAUUUUUCAAAAUUUGCCUCCCAAUGCGAAAGGUGAUCUUUGGUUAGGAUUUCUUCAUAAGAAAAUUAAUAGGCUGAAAGGGGUAACAAAUAGAUAUUUUCAUUUUGCGAAAGAAGAAGCAAGAUGAUCAUUUCUCAUUUCAAACAUGAAUACUCUCAAUUAAAACCUUUUAUUGACUAAGAGCAAACUUAUAAAUUACCUUUAUCUUUUAAUGGGUGAAACACCUUGCUAGAUUGACUCAUUUGAUAAAAUUUGCCUCAUUUUACUUCAGUUAUCACAAUAGAUUAAGAGUUUCAAAUUACCAAUAUAAAUGAUGCUUUUGAAAUUGAAUCUUGAAUUAUUAUCAUGAAUGUUUGAAUAUUCAUUAUUUGGAAUAUGGGAAUGGGUAAAAUAUGAAAGAAUAUAUAAAGGCAAUAGAAGAAAAGAGGAAAAGUAAUGAGAAUGCAUCUUACAUUUUAUUAAAAUUAUGAUAGAUAAAUAAAAGACUAACAUAAAAGAACUUUCAAAUAUUCAUAAGUAUUUAAAAAUUUACGUUAUUUCCUAAAAUUCUUAAAUUGAUAGGCAUUCAUAAAAGUUUUCUCAAAAUUAUGCCUCUGUGUGGUUAGACAAAAGGUUUCCAAUGACACUAAUCCUUGCUUCUUGAUCAAAAUUCAUUAAACUAACUUUGAUCAAACUUUGCACUUUAUACUUCAAUGCCUACAAUUUUUGGUAGAAUGGCCUACAAUCCCAGAAUGAUAGUCACAAGUAGCUUUAGCAUUAUAUCACUUGGGGUAAGGAGGCUUCGAAGGCUUUAAAUAUAUUGAUGCAAUCAAGUGGCUCUUAAUGAGUUAAGGGAGUAAUUUAGUGUAUGUUAUAGGGAUUGGAUCUAUGAGAGCUUCUUUUUUUUUCACCCAGUUUUUGGGUUAAGUAGUUGGCUAAUUUAUAGGUGAAAAGUUAGGUAUAGGUGCUUGAAAUUUUGGUUAAUAAGCAUAGGGACUUUGAGAGAUGUUGUUUAUGGCUAGGUAAUAAGGUUGAAAUAUUGAAUAAGGAUAAUAUAGGGUAUAGCCUCUAAAAUGUUGCCUUUCAUGAAUUAUAGUUUAUGUAUCUCUUUUUUUCUUUUUCGAUAUCACCUUUUUCUUUGCAUUAGUUACAUCACCACCUUUAAGUUUGUGGCUCUUGAUUGCAUUCUGUAUUAUUUCCCUAGAAAUUAACAUAUCAGCAAAAUUUUUAGUCGUAUUUCCUAUCAUUCUUUUAUAGUAUAGGGCUUUAAAAGUAUUAACAAAUAGAACUAUAGUCUCUUUUUCAAUGAGUGGUGGUUAAACUUGGGCAACAACAUUCUUCUACCUCUGGACGUAUUUUUUGAAAAUCUCAGUAUCUUUUUCUCCAUGCUUUGUAAGGAUAGAUAAUCUGGUGCCAAAUCUAUGAUGUACUUGUAUUGGGUAAUGAAAACCCUUAUGAAUUCUCUCCAACAACAUAUAUAAGUCCUAUUAAGUUGUACAUACCACAUAAUAGCAAAACCAAUAAGACUGUCUUAGAAGACAUGAAAGAGUAGCUUCUUAUCAGAUGUAUGUGUAGCCAUUUUAAGGUAGUAUAUUAUGACAUGUGUUAUGAGGCACUUAGUUUCAUCAUAUUUCUCGAAUUCAAGAACCUUGAAUUUUGGUGAAACACCACACCAAGAACUAAGCAUAGUCUAACAUCAUCCAUUGAUCCAUAAAAAUCUAUCUACUUAAUAGCCCUAAGCCUUUUUUCUAUGAGGUCCAUCUUUUAUUAUGAACCAGAGUCUUUUUUUGUUUUUAUUAUGCUUAUUUUUAGUUUCUUGUGUUCUUUUGGAUCAUCAAGAUUGGGAUUUUGGUUCGAUUAAAUGCUUUGAAAUUAGGAAUAGAAGUGAUGUGUCCUUGAAAAUGAGUAGAAGUAGUUAUUGAAAGCAUAUCGAUAUGCAUAUAGGGAUAACCUCCACUAAAUGGCAUUUGAUAUUAGGCCCCUUGAGAUGUUAGUGCUAAGUAUGGGCUAAAACAAGGGUGAUAUAAUGGAUUACUUUCAUUUUGGACAACCAUGUCUUCCACACCUUUUUACCCCCUUACUCAAAUUUUUUAGCAACAUAGUGAUGGUUUUUAGUAAUCCUUUUAGCUCAUCCCAUGCCUUUUUUAAUUUUUGGAACAGAAAGUAUACUCUUCUUCUAUGAUCCUUGCUUGAUAUCAAGUGCUAUAGCGCCUCAAAUUGUUUGAAGAUUAAGCUAUCCUUGAACUUUGAUUUACCACAAUCUUUAAGAUAUUAUGAAAUCAUCCUAACUUUAGUUGUAUAUGAGAAUGAAUGAAUGAAUGUGAUAAAGAGGAUUUACCACAUAAUAAUUGUUAACAAGAAAAAUCUUUAUUGAAUUAAAAGUUAUUUUUAACCAAAUCCAAAAUUCAUCUAUAGGAAGUCCAAAGUUUAUUGUGGAAAGAAAUCCCUAAUUUGUUGAUAUUGGCCUUGUACUUUAUUAAGAAAAUUUAGUAGUCUUUGGCCAAGUGUUCCAACUGGUGGCACCCUUAUUUUCCACUCCUCGAUCUCUUCUACCAUGUUGUUGGCUUUAUAAGUAGCCACAAUGAUAUGAUCAAGCAAACAUUCCAAUUGAUCACAGUUCCUUAUAUAUUCCACUUUUGCUUGCUCACAUUCCUUAGUCACAACUCUCAUUUGUGUUCCAAUUUCAACAAUAACCCCAUUUAGCAUUUGGAUAUGCUUUUGUGUCGCGGAGAGUACCUUUCCAUUUUCUUGGACCUUUACAUGUAACUAUCCAUUUUUUUUAGAAGUUAGGCCAACUCACGAGUGUUGGAUGAUUAUGUUAUAUUAAGGUCAAAGAACAGACUCUUUCAUUCAUCCUUUUUUUUUUAAGAGCUUGAACCUUCCUUUUAAGCCUUUUAUUUGUAAGCUUUAACUCCUUGGACUUCCCUUUCAGGCCAAUAAGUGACUUUACUAGUCUUUUCAUGAAUGUAAUUAGGAUUCUUUUUGUUAAAAUUGUUUUCUGGCAAUCGCGUUUUAUGAUAAAUUUGAUGAUAUAAAUGCAAGUACAUAUAAUAAAGGAAAAAGGUUAGUAAAAACAAUAUAUAUAAGGAGCAAUAUAUAAUUUUACAAGUAAAAUAGUAAAAAAUGUCCCUUCAUGUGCCAUAUUUAGAAUUUCCUAACAAAGAGAAAGGUAAGACUCUAACUUAGGUUUAAAUUCUUAGGGUUUAUUUGCAUGCAGGGUUCAAAGGUUUGAAAAUUUAAAGGCUCCCAAAUUGUUCCUUACAUCAUUAUCCAAUAUAAACUAGUAAGGCAUCUCAAUCCUCGCUCACCAUAAUAAGCUCAAAUAGAAAGGGUUAAAUGGAAGAAGGCACUCCAAUUCUCACCUACCAUAAUAAGCUCAAACAAAAAGGGUUAAAUAUGAGUAAAAGUUUUCAUUAACUCACAUAGAGGUUAUCACUUCACAAGAGUAUAGGUACUUGCUCCCUCAUAAGAAAGGACAAAACUCAGGUCUAGAGCUUAUGCAUGAUGCAUGUGUAAUGUGUAUGAAGGAACAUGCUAAUGCAAAUAAUCAAAUAAAUUAGUACACAUGAAAAAUCAAAAUAACAAAUAAACUAGUACACAUAAAAAAUCAUAGGCUACAAAAUAAACAAAUAAGUUAGUGCACAUGAUGAAUCAUAAUAAAAACCAUCAAAACAAGGCUUAAGAUAACAUAUGACUAACUAAUGGCUUAACUCUCUAAUAUCUCCAGUAAAGUCACCAAAUAGUCAUAACGUUCAAGUUCAAGAACUUACCCACUAAAUAUAAAAAAUAUGGAGUUGCCACCAAUCUUUUUUAUAUAUGUGUGAUUGGCCACCUAUAUGAAUCUAUCCCAUUUAAGGUUAUUCUAAGCUUGACUAAAGGUUUCUAAAAAGAAUAGGUUCUGGUUUAGAUCAACAAAACUAGAUUUGGAAGUCAGUUAUGUGCAGAGAAGGUUUUAGCACCCCCCACAAUGUCCAAAAUUGUUACAAAGUUAAUUAUAUAUUAUCUUGUAAAAGCCUUAAUCAAAGAUGAUUUUUUAUUAGUUUCGAUAUUUAAAUAUUGGAAAAAAGCCUUUAAGCUUUCACCAAAAAAGAAAUUUUCUUCACCUCGAGAAUAUUUAAAAUAAACUUAUUAUUUACUUGAAGAGGCUUUGUCGUCAAAUUCAUUAGCUAUUUUAUCAAAAAUCAAUCUUUUAUUUAUUUACAAAACAAUGUUAUACAAAAAAUUCUUGUAAAAAUAUCAUGCAAUAAUAUCAUAAUUAAAACAUGCAAAUAAAUCAUACAAAUAUCAUAAUAAAAAUCAUGCCAAAAUAUAGAAAUCACACCAAGAAUCAAACAAGAUAUAUCAUGCAAUAAAUAUAAUAAAAAAAUCAUGCAAUAAUAUUAAAUAAAUCAUAUUCAUGCAAAUAAAAUAUUAGAUAAUGAAUCAUACAAAUUCAUGCAAAAUAUUAAGAAAAUAUAUAUUCAUCCAAAAAUAUCAUAAUAAAAGCAUACAAUUAAAUAUUAUAAAAAUUAUGCAAAAAAAAUGUAAAAAAAACUAGAAAAACCUUACCAAAGUUUUUUAUUUUUUAUUUUUUUCUUCACUUUUAACUUAAUUACAAUUAAAAAUAAUAAAUAAUUAAAUAAAAACAAAAUAAAAGAAAAAAAGUUGAAAAUAAAACCAAACAACAAGAAAGAAAAAAUAAAAAGAAAAAAAAAACCUGCAAUUUGGGUCUAGUCAUUUGCGAGUUAACAUGUGGAUCUCUUCGGGUCAAAGCAUGGAUCCUAACUCUUCAAAACAAUGUCAUUUGGUCCUUGUAUAAAAAUAAAAAAAAUAAAAUUUUUUUCAUAACCGUUCUCCUUUUGUCUCUAGCUUAGAAAUCUUCUAACUUCUCUUUAAAAAUCCCACCAUGAAAAUCAAUUGGUAGGCCAAAAAAACCAAGAAUUCAAUGACUUUCCCAGAAUAUGGUCGUUGGAAAUUCAAGCCCUACCUGAAAAUUCAAAGAAUCCAGAAACUAGCCAUUGUAAAACCCAUCGUCCACCGUGAAAUUCAACCAAAACAUUCAACUUCCACUGAAAAUUUUAAGAAAACAUCGAAAUUCUAGAAAUUUAAACAAACAAAACCCAUAAAUUCAACCAAAAUUCUAGAAAAAUCCAAUAAUUCCAAAGUCCCUGAAACAAAAAAAAAAAAACAAAAAACAAAAAUUUCCCAAAAUCAAACCAAAAAACCCAAAAGCUCAAAAAUUAGAACUGAUCGCAAAAUCACCAAACAGUUUUAAGAACUUAAAAUUCAAAACCAAAGCCUAAAAAAUCUUAAGCCUUAGCUUUUGUGAUUGCUUGUUAAUUGCUUCUAAUUGCUUAUUGUUGGUGAUCGCAAAUUUCAGUUCUUUUUAUAAGGAUGAAUUGCACUUCAAAUUGGAAAAUUUCUAGAUUCCAAGGAAUCUACCAAAAUUUUCAAGAUUUUAUUUUUUUGUGAUUUUCCUUUUUUCCAUGAAUUGGGGACCAAGUAUUUCCAUAAAUAAUGGAUUAUUGGAUUUCCAAUUUUAACAGGAUACAAAACCAAAUCAACAAGUCUUCCUUUUAGAAAUAAAUCCUCACGUUUUUUUUCUAUUUUUCUACCUUUUUUUUUUGUCACAUUGCAGAAACCCAUAAAAACUAACACUAAAAUCAAAGUCAAAAGGUUAAAAUAAAUAAAAAAUACUAAAAAUAAAUUGGAUUGAAAUUUAAAAACACAAUUUUGGACUUUUUGAUCUUGGGCCUAAAGUUUAGUUUCACAGUUAAAACCUAAUUGCAAUUUUUUUAUCCACUUUCAAGAAUUCAAAGCUCAUUUUAAUACCAAAAAAAAUUUCAGACAAAAUGAGAUGUUUACACUUAUCUUGUGUAUUUUGAAUUUAUGAUCAUUCAAUUUUAGUUGUGAUUAAUGACAAUUAAACUAUUAAAGGAUAACUUGAUUACUUAGCCACAUAUUUAAUUAAAUAAUUUUUUUUGAAAAAAAAUUAAAUUUGAAUUUUGGAAUUGUAGAAUAUAUACAUGCAUCCAUAAUAUAAACAAAUAAAAGUGCUAUAGUUUUUUUUAUAUAUAUAAAAUUUGUCACUAUACUAUAUGAUUCAAUAUUUAAUUUUAUUGAAUUUUAUUACUACAUUUUCAAUUUUGUUGAUUUUUGGAUAAAAAUCAUAAAAUUAAAAAUUGUAAUAGUGUAUAAUAAUAAUGCAAAUGACAAAGUUUGUCAUUGUAAUUUGAAUUUCAUUGAUUUUAUGGAUAAAAAUAAAAUAUUUCACAAAACUCUAUCAAAGCUAAAUGAUAAAUUUCUAUAAAUUUCAUUUACUUUACAUACCUCAAUAAUUAUACGAAAAAAAAUAUGAAUUAAUAGAAUUUUAGAUAGCAUGACAAUUAGCCUUAGAUAGAUAAUAGAUUUAUCAUAAUAAUAAAUUUGUAUUUGGAAAAUUCUUCUAAAAAUAAAAAGGGAUUAAACUUUGCUUAUAGGAGGAAUUAAGGUUUUUUUUUAAUGUUAGGAAUGAAGGUUUGAACCUAGUUUUCUGAAGAAAGAAAAAACAUUAAAUCAAAUAUUUGGAUGCAAAGGCAAUUAUCAUUGGACAAAUAAAUGAUGUAAUACAUGAAAAAUGAAUUUAAGUAGUAUAAUUACUCUUAAUUUUUUUUUGUAAUAAUAUUUGAAUGGUCAUGGAAACAAGGAAGAAAACCCUAAAAAAAAUUUAAAGUUAAUAAUGAAAGAGUGAUGAGAAGCAUUUAUUUAAACUGUCAUAUAAAAACAAGAUUUUUUUUUUAUUAAGACAAGAUUUUUAAAGAAGAAGAGUCUUUUAUUUUUUUCCCCAAAAUGGUGUGCAUAAAAACUGCAUAAAUUCUUGAAUUUAGUGUUAUAGUAGGUAUAAUUCCUAUAUAGGCACAAAAAAAAAGUCCUAUAGCUAAGAAAACUCCACAUUUCAUUUAUUUCAUUGAAACUGGAAUUGAAAUUAGGGUUUAUAUUCCCUAUUACAUGCUAUUCACCUUUCUUAAUAAUAAUAAUAAACCUAAAUCUUUGUUCAAAAUAAAUAAACACAUAAAAAAGAAGUAACUAGCAAACUAUGGUGAGAAAAAAUUUAAAAAAAUCAAAAAGUGAUUCAAAGUUAUAGUAUUCAGUUUAGAUCAAAACGGUUUUUUUUAUUCAGUUCGGAUUAAGUUCGAAUAUUAAGUUCAGAUUUAGAUUUCAGAUUGAUAAGUGAAAAGUUAAAAAAAAAAAAAAAGGAACCAAAUUGAAUUGUAUAUUUUUAUCAGCUUUUAUAUAUAUUUUUUAAAUUUUUAUAAAAUAAAAUAAUUAUUUUAUACCUAAAUCUAUUUAAAUAUAUUAAAAAUUAUAUUAAAAUAACAUACAAAAUAAAAAAAAAUUAAAUUUAAAACUAAUGAAUUGAAUUGAACCGAAUCGGUAAAAUUCGAUGCGGAUCAGAUCAAAUUGUAUGAAAGUUCAAUUCAGAUUCGAAUCUGAUUUUAAAAAGUCAUAAUUUUAUGUAUUAUUUGAAAAACUGAACCGAAUUCGAUAUGAUCUAAACCAUUAUCACCCAUAUACGUGGUUCUUAAACUUAAGACCAAAUUCUAUUUUGAUUUCCAAACUUCAAAAGUUCUAACUGUAUCCUAAAUUAGCCAAACGUGUACCAAUUUAUUUUCUCUGAAUCCUAAAUUAGCCAAACGUGUACCAAUGCAUUUUCUUCAUUAAUGAAACAAGCUAAUUUGAUGGAAAAUGUUUAAGUGGAAUUUUAAAAAAAUUUUAAAUAUGUGAAGUUAAAAAAUAUAUAUGUGAAUUUAAAAAAAUCUCAUUUUUUUUUUCAUUUUUUCCUUUCCUUUCUUUUGUUUUCUUUCUUUUUUCAUUCUCCGUUCUCUCUCUUAACUCAAACCCUAUCUUACUAAAAAACAAAACCCUUAAUUCUCUAAUCACCUAAAAUUACAAAAAUAAUGAUUGACCAUCGCCCUCCAUCGUUAGCUACAGUUUUCAGUGCCAAUUUGCUUCCAAAAUUCACCCAAAGAUUCCGCUUUUCCUCCUCUUCCUCCUCUUCCUAUUUAUCCAAAUGGUUUUCUCGAAAACAACCCCUAAUCACUAAGAUCUAUAAACAAAAACCAUGACUUCAACCCAAAAAAAUCACCUUCCACCACUUUAUAUUUCCUAAAAUUUUAGUAUAUUAUUCCCCUCCCUUGCUAUUCCUUUUCUCCAACUUUCAAGCGAAAAAUAUCUUCCAAACUAUAAAACCUAAAAUCUAUUUUCCUAAGCUAUUUUUAUGUUGUGGCAUUUUGUACUUUUUAUGAUUGUUUUAUUGCUUAAAAAAAUUAUGGUUAGGUUUUUCUUAUGCUAUCAAUUGUUUUGUUUUCUUUUGUUGAUUUCUUUUGUUAAAUAAGGUUAGUCUUGGCCAGAUAGAUGCAAAUGUUAUUUGAUUGAGGGGGGUUUGGUGGUGUCUAUUUUUCGAGUAAGCUACAGUGGAGGCAGUAGGUGAUGGCUUAAGGAAAUGAAGGUUGGUGUGAUAGACAAUGGUGAUAAUAAAGAUAAAGUUGUUGCUAGGCUAGUUUUGGUGGAAUGCAACAAAGCUUGGGAUCUAUUGAUGGUUUUGCUGGUUUCUUUCUUACCAUGUAUGUGUUUUUGUGGUGUUUGAUUGGUGGUUGUCUAGGUUGAAUUGGUUGAGGUAUUGGGCAUGACAAUGGUUUGAGUUUUGCAGUGUUGGUGGGUAGUGGCAUCUAUGGUAGAGUGUGUUGGUAAUGGGUCCUUGGGUCAAGUUUGAAUGCUAUGGUGAUGGUUUUUGGAGGGCUUGAGUCUAAAGGUUGCUUUUUUGUUUUUUAAUUUUGCAUAUUUAAUUUUUAAAAAAAAUUUUAUUUAUUUAACAAGUGUCAUGUCACCUAAAUUUUUUGUAAAAUAAGACGAUUUCGCUAAUGAAAGAACUAUAUUGAAACAUAUUUGGACAAUUGAAAACUUGAUUAAAAUUUUUUGAAAUUUAGAAACCAAAAUAAAAUUUGACCUAAAAUUUAAAAGAUCACUUGAGCUAUUUACUAAAAAAAAAAAAAAAUUUGAAUCUUGAUGUUUCAAUAACUUCAAAAACUUAAUUUACUUAAAUAUCCUUUUUAUUUUUAAUUUUGCAAACAAAAAAAAAAAGUACUUUGUGUUAACUUUUAUAGCACAAUUUCUUUUAUAUGUUCAAGGCUAAAUCUAUUGAAAUAAAUCAAACCAUAAAUCUCAAUCUCUUAAUUUUUUAAAAAGGGAUAAUAACUAAUUAAUUAUAUCAAACUUGAAUUGUUAAUUUUGAAAAGUAGUCUUUAUAAGUUAUCGAGUUUGGAUGAAUUGAAUUACAUCCACCAAAAUUUGAUUCUAAUUUCUAUCCAUGAAAGUUUACGCAUCAACUCAUAAAAGUAUAAAACCAUUGUGACGCUUUUUUUUUUUUUUUCCGAAUCAAUCUAUCAAGUAAUUUAAACAGAUCUUAGCAAUGGAAAUUCUUGCUCUUAUUUAUUAUGGUAGGUUGCAACCAAUUUGCUUCAAUUCAUAAAUGGCUUACCCCCUAAUAACAUGACCUACAUCUAACCUGUUUAAUUCAACAGCGGAUCCCACUGCAAAUGUCUCUUUAGUAAGAUAAGUUUAUGCAAAUUUUUUCUUCAAACAAUUAUGAAAUCCCCAAAUAUUUUGUCAAAACUUUUCGAAUGUCGCCAUCCUCCCGUAGGACCCCUUCUUGACCACAAGCUGAGUGUACCACAGUCUCACCCAACAAGUUGAAAAUUAUGAAAAAGGAGAAAGCAAAAAAGCUUUAGCCGAUAUUAUCAUUUUACAUAAAAAACCAUGGGUAUUCUCUAUAAUUAAUUACUAAGAUUUUGGGGCUUAAAAAACCAAACAUCGACAAUUUUCAUGUUUGCUAAUAAAAUUUUCCUUUUAAAAUAUUGGCUCCAAUGAUUAAAGGACGCGCCAUACGGAUUCAAUGGGAUCCAUGUUAGGGGCAUUUUAGAUAUUUUAUAGAAAAAUAUAGCCAACCGCCUCUGAAACUCUAAAAAUAUAAAGAAAAACAAAAAAAAAAAAAGAAGAAAAGUUCAUCUUCACGUUUCAUUAUUUUUUAUUUACAUCAAUAAUUUUAUACAACGAAUGAUAAUCCAACAUAAAAAUAUAUGAAAAUUAUAAAUUUGAUACAAUUAAAAUUUUGAUAAAAAUUAUAUAUAAAUUUAAUAAAAAUAAAAAAUAUAUUUCAUAUGUAAUAUAUUGAAAUAAAUUAUAAUACAAUUUUCUAUAUUUCAUAAAUAUUUAAUACAACAUAAAUAAAAUAAAAAUACACAAAUUAUUAAAUUUACCUUAAAAAAAAUAAAUGUGUAUAAAGCUGAAGAAGACGGGCCGGCUUUUUAACUAAAAUAGCUGGACAGACAAAAGCCAACUAAUUACCAUCGUCUCUAGCGCAGCUGUUGAUAAAAUUCUGUAAUAUUUAUUUAUUUUUUCUGUAUUAUAUAUCUUUCUGUGCCACCUUCUAAUUAUUACUGAGAGAAAAGAGAACGCCCCGCUCCGCUUUGCUGUCCUUUCUUUUUAACCAACAAACCCUUUCAAAAAUAAUAAUGAUUCAAAAAAUUGUAAAAACCCUGAAGAUUCCACUGCUAAAAAGAAAAACAAAAUUUCUAUUUUUUUAAAUAAAAAAACCUUCUUCUUGAGAUUGACAAGCAGAUCUCUCAAACGAAAAUAAAUUAAUAAAUUCACCCAUAUACAAACCAUCUUCAAUAAAAACCCUUUUGAAGGAAAAAAUAAUUCACCACCCUCUUUUCUCUGUUAAUAGGUAGGAUCAUAGGAAUAGAGACAUACAAAGUUGAAACAAAAUUUUUUUCCGUAUUUGUUAAUUUUAAUUUUUCCCUUCUUUUCAUUGAAAGCUGUAAGUAAAUUGCAAGCCCUUGCCAAGAGGGGGCCAAGGAAGAGAAAGAAAGAAGAAGCUUGUCGUAUCUAAAAAAUCAUAUAUGCUGGGUGGAAGUGACACCACCGGUGGCGCCGUCGCUGCUGCUACUGCCAUGGUUACCCGCAGCGGAGCUCGAGAUGGAAGCAGUGAAGCUGCUGCUGCCGCCAUGCUUGGCUCCAACGGCAAUAAUAACAAUUCGGGUGAAGAUGAUAGAGGGAGGGUUGAUGAAGGUGACCGUUCUUUGGGAGGCAACAGAUGGCCGAGGCAGGAGACUUUGGCACUCUUGAAAAUAAGGUCCGACAUGGAUGUUACCUUUCGUGACGCUAGCGUUAAGGGUCCAUUAUGGGAAGAGGUUUCCAGGUGAUUAUUAUUAUUAUUAUUAUUAUUAUUAUUAUUUUACUUUCCUUUUUGUUUCUUUUUAUAUAAUCUUUUUGUUGAUAAUUCAAUGAAAAUUUGAGUUCGUUUAAAGUUCUUGAGUGGAGAUCUGUUUUUUCGAAUUGUUUACUUUCAGGUUUAUACUUACGGGAAAGCAUAAGAUUGAGAGAAUUAUAUUCUUUUGUUUGAUAUUUUGUAAGAGGAAAAUUAUAGUUCAAGUUGAGGGAAUUCAGCAUCUUCAAGGGGAAAUUCAAUGUCAUAUGAUUAGGGAUUUCUUACCAUUUCUGGCAUUUGCUUUUCCCAAUUUUUCACAGGGAAUCUUAACCUGAAUUUUGGCUCAUAAAUUUUACUUCAUGUCUCCCCCCCAACUCAUUUCUUCACUCUCAUUUUGUCAAACUCUCUCUCAAAAAAAAAAAAAAAAUUGAAUCUUGGGUGGGGAAAACUGUGUUCAUCAGCACCAAUUCGUGGUUUACUUUGUCUUGAAUUCUAUAGUGCUUUUUGUCUUGAGCUCUUUCAUUUCCUUUUUCAUUUUUACUUCUUUUGCUUCUCAAAUUUCUGUUUGUCUUAAUUAUAUAUCAAAUUCAAUUCAUAGUUUAUUUUAUGUGCGAAUACUGUUUUGGUCUGUUUUGUUGUUGGAUUAUUGAUAGGAUAAAAACAGAAAUGGAGUUGUUUUUUCUACUGUUGAUAUCAGGAAACUAGCAGAGCUCGGUUAUCAUCGAAGGGCCAAGAAAUGCAAGGAGAAAUUCGAGAACGUUUACAAGUAUCAUAAGAGAACCAAAGAUGGCCGAACUGCUAAAUCAUAUGGCAAGACUUAUCGGUUUUUCGAUCAAUUAGAAGCCCUCGAAAAUAAUCCUUACAUUCGAUCGCCAGUAGCAGCACCACUACCACCAACGCAACUAAAGCCUCAAGGUCAGCCAGCAGCUAAUCCUCCGAGUCUGACCCAUGUCACUGUUCCAUCAACAACACUCUCCAAUUUGCCACAGAACGUUGUACCACCAAAUAUAAACCAUACAGCCCCUUCCUGCCCAUCAACAAACCCUACAAUUCAACCCCCACCACCGACAACAAACCCUACAAUUCCUUCUUUUCCUACCAUUUCAGCAGAUCAAAUGUCGAAUUCGACCUCCUCAUCGACCUCAUCAGAUUUAGAAUUAGAAGGUCGGAGGAAGAGGAAAAGAAAAUGGAAGAAUUUUUUUGAGAGGCUAAUGAAGGAGGUGAUUCGGAAGCAGAAGGGGAUGCAGAAGAAAUUCUUGGAAGCAAUAGAGAAAUGUGAGCACGAAAGAAUGGUCCGUGAAGAAGCUUGGAGGAUGCAGGAAAUGGCAAGAAUAAAUAAAGAACGCGAGAUAUUAGCCCAAGAAAGAUCAAUGGCAACGGCAAAGGAUGAUGCAGUAAUGGCGUUCUUGCAAAAAUUAUCUGAGCAGCAAAAUCCAGGGCAUGCACAAACUAAUGCAAUACCGUCUCAGCAACCGCAACCGCCUGCACCACAGCCAGUAUUGGCAGUGGCACCGGCAGUGGCCCCAGUAGCGCAGCCAGUAGCUGCAGCAGUGUCAGCGCCUGCUCCACCACUAGUACCGCUGCCAGUGGUGAAUUUAGAUGUGUCAAAGACUGAUAAUGGCGAUCAAAGUCACACACCAAGCUCUUCAAGAUGGCCUAAAGUUGAGACUGAAGCAUUGAUUAAGCUAAGGACUAGUCUUGACUCUAAAUACCAAGAUGGUGGUCCCAAAGGACCAUUAUGGGAGGAGAUAUCAUCUGCAAUGAAAAAGCUUGGUUACAAUCGCAACGCCAAAAAAUGCAAAGAGAAAUGGGAGAACAUAAACAAGUACUUCAAGAAGGUUAAAGAAAGCAACAAGAAAAGGCCCGAGGAUUCAAAGACAUGUCCCUACUUUCACCAACUUGACGCUUUAUAUAGAGAAAAGAACAAACAUGAUUGCUCCUCCAAUCAAUUAAAACCCGAAAACUCAGUCCCAUUGAUGGUACGCCCAGAGCAGCAAUGGCCCCCUCCUCCUCCGGAGCCCAAUCACCACGAACAGGAUCAUGUAAUGGAAGACAUGGAAAGCGAUCAAAAUCAAGACGAAGACGACAAGGAGGGCGAUGUUGAGGAGGAAGAUGAAGGGGAUGGCUAUGAAAUUAUAGUCAGCAAACCGGUUUCAAUGGGCACAGGUGGGUGAUAUCAGUGUCAGAAACAAACCAGCUAGCACUGUCAAAUUUCAUUGGCCAGGACUCAGGCAGAUAAAUGUAAAGAAGCAAUUCUUUUGAGUUGAUGUUCUAGCAGCUAUCAGUCCGGUGAGUGGGCCAGGAAUAUCCGGUAAAGGUGCAUUGGAGUGGAAGCAUUUGAAUUGAAUUUUUAUAGGCGAGUACACAUUGGUGGGGUUGUAGCAUAAUUUGUAUGUUUAUUUUCAUUAUUAUUAUUAUUUUUGGCUAAAUAAAUAAGUUGAGAGCGAGAAGUAGAUCAGAUAGUGAGGUUCAGAAUCUCAUUCCGCAAAAUAAACAGGAAAAAAUGAGACCAGUGCUGUAAUUUUUUUUGUGUUCACUAGGUUCAAGAAAAUUUUGAAUAAUUUCAAUUUCAAUUUAUUUUGAGUUUGGAUCAUCUUCAAUAUGAAGUUUUCAGAUUUUAUUCUCGAAUUAUUUAGAUUCGUUUGAUUUUAGAUUUAAAUUAUUGAAUUUAAAAAUAAAUUAAUUUAAUUUUGAAAAAUUGUAUAUUAAUCUUUUCAGUGAUUUAGGUUGGAAUUAGUUUAAAUAUGAGUAAAUUUAAAUUUAAACAAAUUCAAAUUCAAAUUGAGCAUUAAGUUGUUAAAUAAUCUUAAUUAAAUUUGGUUGGGACGAAUUUUUCAAAUUUGGAUUUAGCUUUGUAUCUCCACCCAGAAGCCUUCCAAUGAGCUAGCUUAGCUCCUGCUAUGAGAAAGAGAAGUUUUUCAUGAAAAGGGUUUCAAUGCAAAUGGUGGUGUUGCUGAAAAGAUGAUCAGUUAGUUCCCCAUGGGAGAGAGUCUGAUAUAAAAUACAUAAAUAAGGUUAGACAAAGGGCAGAAUCACGGCCAUUUUGCAGAGAGGCGUUUGCCAGAAUAUGCCAACAUCACAUGUAGUCAUGGGAACAGGCUCCACUUAUUAAAAGGAAUCUUCUAAAUUUGUUAAUCGAAAGACCUAAUAAAUUCAUACAGAUUUUCAUAGGUUUAGGUUGUUUGGUUGCAGUAGUAAUUCAUGAUGCCAGUGCCAAGAAAUGGCAUCAGACCAAAAAGACCAGGCUCCAGCUCUGACAUUUAUGUUAAUGCAUUACAUUUUGUUUACAUAAAAUUAUUGCAUAUAUAAUGCUUUUGAAUUAAUUUUAUUGUUAUUAAAAAAAAAACCAGCUUUAUUGAAAGGCACAAUACAAGUAUACCUUGUAUCUUUAUGCAUGAAAUGAAACUAGCUUAAUUAUCAAUUCAUCAAAUGGGGAAAAAGCUAAAUUAAAUUACUUUCCAGAAUAAAUGAUAGAAUUAACUAAAUCACUGUGUGCAAGUGACAUCUUUUUAGUGCUUAUAUAUUAUUUAGAAGCAAUGCUAGCUAUUUGUACGUAUAUAUAUUUUUAUUUGGUUAAUAUCAUGAAUGACUUUUACAUUAUACAAAAUAUUAAAUGUAGUAUAUGAAUUUUAAAAAUUUUUAAUGUGAUAUAUAAACUCUAAAUCUAUUAACUAACAUGGUACUCACUUUUAACAUAACUAACAACUUCAAAUGAUAACACGAAAUAGACAAACUACUAUCCAAAUUUUACAUUAAUUUACAGAUUUAUAGUUUUUGUAUUAUAAUAGAGAUUUUUAAAAUUCAGAUAUUACAUUAGACAUUUUAUUAUAUAUAAUUUAUGAAUUAUUUAUAACAUUAAUCCUUUUUAUUUUUACUUGAAGUUUGUUUUGAAUCUCAUCCAUUCUCCCAAUACAAACAAAGUGCAUUUCAACACCCUAGAGUACUAAAUGCUCCAUAUGGGAUCUUUUUAUAUAUGAAAUCAUAUUACUUUUUUUAUUUUUUCAUUUUCCAAUAAUUUAUGCUUUUCUUAACUCAAAAUUGUCAUUUUACAUAUUUUGGUAAAAAACUUUGAGGCAGUUAAUAUAAUUAAUUCCAUAAUAAGGAUAUUUACUAGUAGCUAUUAGCAUUUUCAAAGUGUUCAUCAUAGUAUUUUUUUUUCUUCUUUUUCUACUUAUAUAUUGAUCAAUAAUUGUUUAACCUGAUAAUAAAUUUAUAUAUACAUAUAUAGACACGCAAGUAGACGCAUGCUCCAAGUAUUUUAAUAUGAACUUUAGUCAUAAUCCAACAGAUUAAAAAAAAUCAUUAUGGUUUUAGUUUUCUAAAUUCAAUCAUAAAACAGAAAAUUGACCUAUCUAACCUUUAGACACCAUGUAAGGACAGUAAGGUUGACGGUGGAUCCUUUUUCCCUUUUAUCUACAAAGCUAAUAAUUUUGAACAAGAACCUAACAAAACUCAUGUCAAUCAUUGUCCAUAAUCAAAACCCUCAACAAAAUUAAUAAUAUGUGCGUCAAUUUAUAUCAGAAAAAAGGGGCAUUAUUUUGGUUAUUCUUCAAAUUAUAUAUAUGGAAUCUGUCUUUCAAUUAUUCAUUAUUAUUAUUUGCCAUUUCUUUGGAAUCAUAAUUCCUAGUUGCCCAUAUUUCAUUCUAACUUGUUAUGAUGCCCUCUAAAAAUUUUGUCCAGGCAUUGAUGAAAUUAAAAAAUAUAUAUUCUGCAAAAAUGCGAUCCAUUAAAGAAAUGCUCCCACACAUUGAUUGGUGUGAACUGUGAAUUAUGUAUGGAUAGGAAUAGAUAUUUUGUUACACAGUUAACAGUGUAAAAGACAAUAAAAGCUCCUGUUGCCAUCAACACACACACCUCCACUAAGCUCUUAUCUUCAAUUUUCUAAGCUAUUUUUUUGUGAUUACAUUUUUUAUAAAAUAAAAGAAUAAAAUGUUUUUCUUAUUAAAAUCAACAUUAUUAGGAUGGUCCACAAUCUUAGAUAUUUAUCCAUUCACCUUGGACUGUAAGGCUGAUUUUUGGAUUGAUGAUAAAUGGAGAUUUUAAAAGUAUAAACCUAAUCAAAAUCCACAUAUGCAUGUAUCUUCGAUGGCAAGAGCUUGGAAAGUUAUGCUUUUUUGUUAUUUCUCAUGCCAAAAGCAAGUCUCAUCAUAUCUAUGUUAAUUAAUAUUGCAUAUUAAUUGCAAUUGCUUUAUCAAGAAAAAGAAAAAGGAAAGGAAAUGAUGGGCAGCUAAAGCUAUGGAUGGAAGAUGCCCUUCUGAAUUGAAUCAGAUAUUGCUUUUAAUUCACGUAUGUGAUUUACACACGCAUCCAUGCUUUGUCAGUGAAUCAUAAAAUCAAAUAUCUUCUUAAUGUCCUCGAUCAUUUAUAGUUUCCCAAAAUGACAAAUUAAUUAAUUGCUAUAUAUAAAUUUCUCUGGAUUGGGGAGUUUUUUGGCUUACUGGCUACGGAGUGUGGACUAAAAAAGUCCAUCAAUAUUAUUACAUGAGCUGCAUUCUGCAACAGUUUCAAGCAGAAAAUCCCCUAGUUAUAGCAUCAACAUCCAUUUUCUUUAACCCCUUAGCUAUCUUUUUGGCUUUCAGGUCACUCAACUGAUGAAUCAAAACCAGUCUACCAUCCAUGAUUUCCCGUUCAAGUUCUUUCUCAAUCUAAUCUCCUUUACCAGCUCUUGAACUCUUCUUCAGUGACAUGCAUUUUAAAAAUAUUCUUUCCUCUUUACACUCUUCUACGGAGAUUAAAAGGGUAUUGCCACAGCAACACUCGAGUAAUCAUGGUUGUUGUUUUCUCUGAGUUGAAUGCUAAGUUAGACCAAAUGAAAGUGCAGUCAUGUCAAAAAGGCGAUGACCUUGACACAAAUGAAGGUGGGUUUGGUUCUUUCAUGCCGAAAAAUGAGAAUAAUGAUUCG
This 81608-nucleotide long non-coding RNA is filed under the name Durio zibethinus. RNAcentral describes it as "long non-coding RNA (DZIB_LNC000033)". The record is from RNAcentral. Lineage: Eukaryota; Viridiplantae; Streptophyta; Magnoliopsida; Malvales; Malvaceae.